UGAUUGGCUGGGAGGGAAAUAGCCUCUUCCGUGUAAUACCUUUGAGGCAAAGCAGAGAUUAGGGUUUGCGGCGGUCUGUAUUCCCUUCAGAGGCACCUGAACACUUGGAACUGCGUGGGAACAUGUCUUAUCUAUUUGAGGUUGAUUUUGACACUCGGCGAAUAAGAAGAACGCUUGCGGCUCCCUGAGGCGUUUUUCUUGUUCAAGAUCUGUUUGUGUUUUUUUACUCUUGUUCUGUGGGUUGGGAUCUGUUCCAUUUUGGCCAACUGUACUAUAACGUGUUUCUGGUUAUAUUGGAGUCAUGCAAGUAAAUUUUUGGUGGUUGUCUCAGUUAAAUUCUCGAAUUCUUGUCAGUGUGCUUUGAAAGCGAAUAUCUCGUUAUUCCAGCAAAUUUGCCUGGCAUGGCUCUGACUCUGAGUAUCUCAAGUCGUAUGAUGCAUAAUGCUCAGGACAAGUUGCACGGAGGCAGGCUCGUUUGCAGAAAAAGAGGUCACCAUUUUCUGUCAUGUCCGUCCUGCGGCCUCCUAAGAUCAUCUACAGUCGGCUGCCUCAACCCUCCUCCUUAAACGCCGUCAGUCACCAAUCAAAAAAAGUGAUCUAGAUGGUUGCCUCAAACGCUCGGGGCUGAUCGGCAUCCCUUGUAUUCAGUCCAAAUCUAGUACGAAUAUGAAGUGGCUCGGGAGCACAUCGGUGGCGGUCCACUCUGGCUCACCUCAAUCUCACAUAUUUGUCCCGGUUCUCUUACCGGACCAAAACCUAACCACUCCACUUUACCACCCAAGCUCCCGUCUAGCCUUGUGUCGUCCAGUGAGGGUUGGAGGAUGCUAUGGGCUAUGACCGUCCGCAUUGCCCUUUGGCGUUCCUGGGAGGACUGCGCCCGACCGAUGAGGGAUCUUUUCGGCGCGAAUUCAUUGUGUCGGCGCAGAGGACACUGGGGUAGGAUCUUCGUGGUCCGGUAUCCUCCCCAUUUCUGGGCCGUUGGAAGAAGAGGAUAAGCCCGAGGCUUGCCUUGCUGUCGAUAUGGCGGCGGCGGAUGCGGCGGCGCGCACUCUGCAUAGGAGGAAGCUCUCCGAGAGCAAAACCGGGCGGUCCGUGUCAUGGCUGGACUGCCCUCGAAAGUUGAGAAGGAAGACAUCGACGGAUCGCUCAACUCCGACUAGAUCCAUGGGCGUCUCCGACCAGUACUUCCGGGAUAAAGAUGGCAAAGGCGCUGGGAAGGGCAAGGGCAACCGUGGAUGAGCUUCUCCAUAGUUAAUACUCCCUCCGUUCAGAAUUACUUGUCUUAGAUAUGGAUGUAUCUAGAACUAAAAUACAUCUAGAUACAUCCAUUUUUGCGACAAGUAAUUUUGAAUGGAGGGAAUAUGUAGGUAGAGCAUGCCAAAGUUUGAUAGUUCGAUGAUAUGUCAUGAUGUAAUAACCGGUUGAUGUGUGUUGGCGUGUUGUUUACGUACAUUGCAUAUGUUUUGUACAAAGUUUAGAAAGGCGAUGGGCGUUACUUGUGCGUUUUGUGACCUACUUGAGCUGUGCACAGCCCGCUUAUGCGUCGCCUAGGCACGCCUAGUCGUUUCCACUGUAGCAUGAAGAAAUAAAGUAGAUGGGCUGAUCUGGCCCAUUAAACCGCUGGCCCAUCUAUUCCAUUCUCCUAGUAAAGCCUCCCAUACGUGCACAGUCGACAGAAAAUUAAGGAUCCUCCUCACGCCGCCUCUCUACUUCCUCUAUCUCUUGCUACACAUGGGAACCAGUCAGCCAGUGAAGCUCGAUUUCUCACCGGAGAUGCUUGAUUCCUCGCUGGAAUCAGUCGAUUUCUCACUGGAGAUGCUUGAUUCCUCGUUGGAAUCAGUCGAAUUCUCACCGGAGAUGCUUGAUCCCUCGCCGGAAUCAGUCGAUUUGUCGCUGGGUUGGUUGAAUCCUCGUCGGGGAGGAUGGAACUUCGCUGUGGAGGUCAAAUCCUGGCCGGGGAGAUUGAUUCCCUGCCUGAGAAACACGAUUUCUUGCUGGAGGACCUCGCUGGGCGCUUUUCUAAGCGCCUAGGGCCAAAGCGAGGCGCUAUGCCAGCGCCCAGAGCUUAAGCGUGCACAGGCGAGUGCCUAGUAGCGUCUUCUUGAACAAUGGUCUUGUAUGAAUUUAAGGUUUGCUAACUGAGAUGCCCCGUUGUACGAAAAAAACUUAAGAUGCAAUUCGUCAGUAUCCGCGAACGCGUCCGCAUGCGUACAGAGGGGCGGAUUUGUUCAAGUCCAGCUGUAGAUGCUCUAACAACUAACAUUUUCGAUCCUGAGGCACGAGGCAGUGUUUAUGUGUACAUCGGUAUUUUUUUUACCUCCCAAGCUCCGAUAAUGCAAGAAUAAUUGUAACAGAAUCCCUUUUUAUUAAAAAAGUUUUGCUUACUAUUCAUGAUCUGUCAAAAAAAUUGCAAUCAGAUUCAUAAACCACAAACACAGGAGUGAGCCGGAUAAGCUUUGUCAAUAGAAUUCAAAUGAAACCCAUCUUUCCUAUGCCCUAUCCCCUCCCCCACUUUGACCCGGAGAGCGGUAACUCAAAAUGAUGAUCGAUCUAACGACCGAAAACUACUAGACAUUGUUGCACCACAGAGAGGGCGAACCGAAGGCAACAAUACCGAUGGAUUUGAGGAUGGAGAAAGUAGAGAGAGUUGAAAUAGUCGCUAAUAGUAAUAUUGUUGUGGAAAAAUGUUUACCUGAUUUAAACCUCCCAAACCCAUCUCUGGUCGGCUCUUCUCCCUUAACACUGCGACAUCGUGAGGACGGGGCGUCGACCCGUUGACUGGGCAGCUAAGGUUGCUGCGAGUCCACCCGAGUUCGAGUCCCGGCUUAGACAUGCGGAGCUCGCAGAGUUUCUUCUAUAAGAAAAAUGCCAACGAAGAUUAACCCUUAGGUUGGUCUCAUUUUUUUUAACACUGCAACUUCGUCAUUGGCUCCAUCUUGUGUGACCCCUUUCAGGGUGAUGCGUCAUGGUGGAAAGCUAAUUUGCUAUUGCUUACAUACUGCCAGCGCAAGCCCGACGCUACAAGUCCAUGAUCCGCUCAAUGGGACAUUCACACACCUUGUGGAUCCUCCGGGUAACCAUUUGGCUGACAUUGUUUUUUGUGACUUGCACUUGGAAUGUUAUGUACGUCACACCUAAGAUCUCGCCGGUGGCUACAACUGUUGAAUUGAUUCUCUCUUCUGUGAGUGUUUUUUGACACCCCAAAUAGUGGGGUUUGAUGUUUUCUCUGUCCGAGGCUUGGAACAACAUGAAGACCCCAAGAGCAGAGCUCCGGACAACUAUUUCCCAUGAAUUUUAUGUAGCUUUAUCUUUAUCUUUAUCAAUGGUCUUCGUUGUACUCUCUUUGUUUAAUCAAAUUGAACAAUAAUAUCAAUUCAUUUCAUGUAAAAAAAGCCUCCUUUUCGAAAAAAUGUAAAAAAAAAAAGAGCCAAGCAUUAGACCACAGAAUGGCAUCUGUUUCUGAAUCCAAGUUUGAAGCGCCAAUUCAUUCAUACUGUUACAAGACAGACUGCAAAUGAAUCCAAAAUCACUAUCAAUUUCAUUGGUGACCAAUCCUUAUAUACAACUGGAGGGGACGCAAGUGAACAGGCGCGUCCGCUCGAUGGGGAGUGAGGGAACUGUCGUGACUGUCGCUAGAUUGGCAAUGCACGUGCAGUUAUACAAAGAGAGGAUUAUCUCCUUAAUUACAACAUUAAUUAAAUCCUAACACAUACAUUACAUGUGUCAAAUAUACUAGCUAGUAUAAAGCCCGCGAUUGGCUGUGGAUAUUAUUAGAUGUUUUUGUUGAGUUUAUUUCAAAUAUUUUAGGGCAAAGUGUCCGGUGAAAAUGAGUUUUCAGUGAAAAUAUGGAAAUUUGUCUUGUGGAUUGUUGGAUUGGUAGUGAAAGACACAGAUCAAAGGUGGGACUGCUAACAAUCCACUUAAACACAAAUUAGCAGAUAACCCCCAGUUCGUAUUCAUCAGCAGGGUGAAUAGCGCUUGACUCUUCGUGAGUUGUUGAGAUCUGAUUGUCUUCGAUCGUAGUGCCACCAUGCUCCUUCCAUCGGCGGUUACCCCUUGCCCUCGACCAGCCGCAACUGACACUUCGCCCGCAGAGGACAAGCACGGCGUCGUGGUCCUUGACAGCGACGACGACGACGACGCCGCCCUCGGACCGUCCAACCCGCCGCGCCAACCGGGGGAGGGAUACAGCAGGGACGGCGGAGGCGCAGGCGGGGGCGGCGACGACGACGACGACGACGGCGGUGAUUACACGCGGUUCUACAGCCUCCUCGGCAUGUAAAACCACGUGGGCGGGCGGCGAGGGAGACGGCGGGGUAGCCCGCGGAAGUUUUUUUCUUUUUUGUAAAAUAUGUUUAAGUUUGAACGAACUCUUCGAUGUUUGCAUUAAAUUUAAAUCGUUUUUGCGCCGUUUUUGACUUUGACUAACCAUGGGCGCCGCGACUGGAGGGGCAUCACAUCCCCAGUGCGCGGUUUAGCGCCGGCGCGCCCCAGAGGGCGAUUAUUUGCCCUUCCUGAAGGGCCAACGGCUGAAGAUGCCCUGACACUUCGCCCGCCGGGAUGGAUCUUUGAUAGGCGGGGAUUGGCCCUCCGCUUGACGCGUCUCUGACCAUGACUUUCCUUCUGUCCAUCGUGGUGGGGCCACUGCCCGAUCGUCGGCUGCCGGUCACCAUACACUGGAUGUGGCUCGCGCUUUGGCAACCGGGACUCAUUCUUCAGAGCACACAUCACCAUCGCACCUGGCAAUUCUUUCCCCUGACACAUUCCUCCGCAUAUUGUUUUUCUUAGGCAUCCAGAUGGAGCAUCAACCUAAAAUUCUAGCAACCAUAAUUUACUACCACCACAACAAGUCAACAAACAUACAAGCAUAGGAAUUUGUUGCAUAGUUAGCCUAGAAUGACGAGUAGGAUACACUGCUAUAACAGUGUUUCUUGUACGCAAAUUGGUUGUCACUAAGCAUUAGUGUUUAGGCCAAAUGUGACUGGAAUCACUUGUACAACAGCACUAGCUAGCUGUUACAACAGCCCUAGCUGCUACUAGGUCCUUUGCAGACUGAAAUCACUUGUACUGUAGGCUUGUAGACAGCCUGUGUAUAGCUUCUUAAUUGACAACCUCAGAAUUUCAUAUUCAACAACACAUGUCGGCCUAGAUUGUUCUUUGCCCUUGUUCAGCAGAACAAAGCUUUGAAGGAUACAAGAAAAUUCAUAUUGAGUGACUGGAAAAGAGCUCAGUAAAGAUAAUGUUGGACAGAAGUUCAGCAUAUUUAUUCAACUGAAUUCAUACACCCAGAUAUUAGAGAUAAAGAUCAUAGAUUACAGACUGCAUUGCAUGCCUUUCACAGUGUGGUUUUUAAACGGAUACAACUUCUGAAUCCAAAUUGCAUAAGUAAACCUGCUUCACCAACAAAAAGAUGCAACAUUAUACUAUUACUUCUGAAUUCAGGCUACAGAAGUAAGCAUUGGGCUGCACAAUCAGGGAGCACGCGGCUACAUAAUCAAAGCUUAGGGGUGCAGAAUUCAGCGAGUUGCCGACGUCGUCGCGUGAGGGCAUCGUCACUGCCAUCCAGAAACUGUCGCGCGGGAAAGCCUCGCGGCCACCAAGUCGUUGUUGCGUGAGGGGCAGCUGGGAGCCUGGGAGGCCGCCGCGCUGAGCCACCGUCGUAGGGGGGGAAGCCGCGGCCUCCGAGUCGCCUGUGCGUGGGGCAGCACCUCAGCCGCCAGUCGCACGAGGGCAUACCCAUGGCCAUCGAGGGGUCGAGCCACUGUCGCACAUGCGCGAGGGGCAGCCGCGCAACCGAUCCACCGUCGCGUGGGAGGCAGUUGUGGCCGUGGAAUCGCCUGACCGUGGUGCAGAACCUGAGCCACCGCCGCGUGGGAAAAAUGCCGCGCCACCGAGUCACCGUCGUGCGGUUCUGCUAAUUUUCUCUCACGGGGCAACCCAACUCUGGAGUCUGGACUAGAAAGGGGGUUAUCUGCUAAUAUGCGCUUAAGUGGAUUGUGAGCAGUCCCAUCUUUGAUCCUUGUCGUCCGGUCCAACAGAUCACGAUAGAAAUUUUCAGAUUUUCACUAAAAAGUCAUUUUCACUGGAUACUUCGCCAUAUUUUAGGCACACAGCUGCAAACUUUAAAUAUUAUUGAAGUGCAUAAACAACUUGUAAUGCUAAAUUUUGUUGCAUUAGUUUUCUUAGUGAGUUCAAUGUUCGCAUCUUUUGGAAGUUACAAACUGUCCCCGCAAAUAAAGGAACUUACAAACUGGUAAUGUGUUAAUCUAACAAUUAGUGUGGUUCUUUUCAUCAUUGUCCAAUGUCUUUUCAUCAAGAAACAUAAUUUCACCAAUAUAUGUGUCUUUCCAUGAUGUUAGCCGCCAUGAAAACGUGAUAUGUGGUCUUUUGGUAGUGCAGGUAGCAGGUUUUGCAUGGUGUCAGAACCUCGCUGAUGUAGUACACCGGGUGUUGGACCCGUUAUGCCUUUCCUUGCUCUUCCCUCUCACCGCCGUGAUCAUGCUGGUGAUUUGUGUGGUGGCGGAUACAUAUAGUAACAGUGGCUCUGAUUGUGCCAGGGAAGCCAACACCGGGUUGGAAUGUGGAAGGCACUUGAGGUAUGCAAAUGCGGCCUUUGCUUCAUCGCUCCGAUAGAACUUAUUGUUCUUGCGCAGAAGCCAGUAGAGUUGUAGGGUUUUCUCCCCGAGCCGUAAUGAGAACCGGCUCAGAGCUGCGAUGCAACCCGCGAUCUUUUGUACUUCUUGAAUUGUUUCUGGUGAUUUGAGGUUGAUGAUGGCAUGCAUCUUCUCUGGGUUUGCUUUGAUGCCUCGCGGAGAUGCGAUGAAGCCGAGGAACUAUUCGGAGGGCACCCCGAAGACAAUUUUUUUCCGGAUUCAACUUCAUGCUGAAAAGGUGCAGGUGGGUGAAGGUCUGCUCGAGGUCGAAGACGAAGUAUAGCCCAUGCCUGGCGCGCCAACAGAGGAUACGUAAAUCGUGAACUCCCCCGGUAGGGUGGUGAAUUCGGCCGGAAGUAACAUAACGGGGUUCACACGAGGGGGUUACCCAGGUUUCGGCCCUCUGGGUAAUACCCUACAUUCUUCUUCUGAUAUGUAUUCAUGGUGGAGUUUCUCAUGCAAGGGAUUACAAUGGGGGAUGAUGCAUGACUACCGUGAGUGUGUUUCUACGAGAAUAGAUGGACCUGGUCGAUCCCUACCCCCUCCUUAUAUAGACGAUGGGGGCUAGCUAGGGUUUACACAGGGAUCUAACUGACCUCAAGCCGUCGCCAUUUGUGCCUUGCACUCCAAGAUGAUCGUCGUGCUCUGGGACUUCCCUCCCCCGUCGUCGGUGUAACACCCCGGAUAUGAUUUUCCCAAUAUGUAAUCCAACUCUUGCCGUUUCCGGCGUUAAGUUAUUUUAUUUUCUCGGGUUCGGGUUUUUGUCCCCGUGUGUUGUUAUCGUUGUCAUGCAUCUCAUAUCAUGUCAUCAUGUGCAUUGCAUUUGCAUACGUGUUCGUCUCAUGCAUUCAAGCAUUUUCCCCGUUGUCCGUUUUGCUUCCGGCGCUCCGUUCUUCUCCGGUGGUCAUUUCUACCUUUCUUUCGUGUGUGGGGAUUAAACAAUUCCGGAUUGGACCGAGACUUGCCAAGCGGCCUUGGUUUACUACCGGUAGACCGCCUGUCAAGUUUCGUACCAUUUGAACUUCGUUUGAUACUCCAACGGUUAACCGAGGGACCGAAAAGGCCUCGUGUGUGUUGCAGCCCAAGACCCCUCCAUUUUAGCCCAAAACCCUCUCCAUCAUCUAGAGCGUUCGGUCAGGAUCGCGUGGCCGAAAACCGCACCUCAUUUGGACUCUCCUAGCUCCUCCUAUCCCUAUUUAAAGAUCUCACUCCCGAAAUUCUCGGAUCAUUUUCACCCUAAACCUAGCCCCCCUUCCCCUCCGCGGUCCGGACACGUCCGGUCCGCGCCGGACGAAUCUCCGCCGCCGCUCUGCACCAGUCACCACCCGCCACGUGGCGCCCCGCCGCCCCACAUCGCUGAGGCCCGCCGGGCCCUACUCCGGCCCCCGUGGCCCGCUCCGCCCGGCGCCGCCCGACAGCGCCUGCGCCCAUUCCCUCCUCGCCGCGCCGCCGCGCUCUCACCUCGCCGCCGGCCGCCAUCGCCAACGAUCGCCACCUCUGCCGCCCGGGCCACCACGUCGUCCUCCGCCUCCUUCCGUCGUCCGCCGCGCCGCCCUCGUCGCCGGCAGGGACCCCGGCAACGGAUCCGGUGGCACCGCCCCUCUCCCUCGACUCCGGCGCGUCUCCGGCGAGCCCCCUCCAACGAACCUCGAAGAACGUGCCAGAUCUAGAUUCGGAUCUGAGAGGUUGACCUAAUUUUGCCCUAAGUCCCAGUAAUUUUUAGCAUUUUUCAUCGCAUCAUAACUUUGCACCCGACAGUCCGUUUUGGGCAUAUAGCAUAUCAAAAUGUUCAUCUUAGAGAGUACAUCAUUUCAUUCCAUUGCAUCAUUUUCAUUUGAGUUCAUCUUGAUGCCCGAAAUGCUGUUAGAAGAAUGCUAUUUGAGAUAAUUGUCAGAUCUGCUGCUCCAAUUAAAUAUUUGUCAUUUUUGCCAUGAUUAUUGUGUGCAUGAUAUGCCCCUGAGCUCUACAUGUGUUUUGUUAUAUGUUUUGCCAUCUAUCCAGAGGUGCAACCCAUGUAUUUUUUUUGAUGUGUGUGGUGACUAGCACAAGCUUGCAAAGUGGUGCAUUCGUUAAUGCUGAUUUCAGAGACUUAGCAUUUCCACUAAGUCCUUGGACUGUUUAUCUCAUUAUGCCAUAUGUUCAUGUUGAUUCCUAGUGAUCCGUGCCUCUUUUGAGGAUGCUCAGUGAGGAUGUUUUGUUAAUCUUGUAGUGCUCUAUCCAUCCAUGUCUUUGUUUGCAAUUAUGGAGCACCCUAGCUUGAGUCAAUCGAGCUCUACUUUUGCUAUUUCGUGAAUCUGGGCAGAUUGUCUACUUGUUAGCGAUUUUGCCGAGGAUGUUGUAGUUGAUCCGUGCAUGCUAUGUUAUUAUUCUUGCCAUGUCUAGCUUGCACUUUGUGUAUUCUUGAUGGGUGUAUGCUUAGAUUGCCAUGACUUGCUCUGUAGUGAGUGCAUCGAGCUCGUAAACAUGCCUACUUGAUAUCUGUUUUCAUCAUGCUCCAGUUUUCACUAAGUCUGAGAACUGAUUAUGUUUUUGCCAUGUUCACAUGCUUGCAAAUAUAUUUUUUGAUCCCUUUUGGCUCAAGGUCACUAAGGGACUUUUGUUAAGCUCUUUGAGUAGCUCCAUGCCAUGCAUUACUUUGCCAUGUUCAGGUCCUGUAGCAUGUAGUUUUGUUGCUCCAAAGUGUGCUAUCUGAUCUGAAAUUCAGGCAAGUGUUAAUUUCACUAAGUCUGAGAUCUGUUUGCCAAAUGCAUUUUUGCCAUACUUGUUUGAACCUGUUAAUGGAUGAAUUGACCAUAGCUCAGUGUUCAUCUUUUGUUAAGCAUCUUGUAGGGAUCCCUGCCAUGUAUUUUGUUGCCAUGUUUGGGUGCUGUAGCAUAUUCUUAUUGUUGCAUUUAGUUGGCUACUUGCUGUAAAUCGCAGACCGGUGUCAUAUUUGAAUCACUUGCCAUUUCCAAACCGUAACUCCGAUUCCGGUGAUCUUUAUAUCAUUUUUAAGCGAUUUCAUCUCACCUUUCCAGUGGCACACUUGGAUUUCCAUGUUGAGGCCAGGUUCAUUCAUUCAUUGUCAAAUCUUGCAUAUGCAUCCCAUAUCACAUCCCGCAUAGCAUACCAUGUUUGCAUCAUAUUGUUUGAGCUUUGCACGUGGUUGAUUGUGUCCUUGUUGCUUGUUUGUCUUGUUUGGGUAGAGCCGGGAGACGAGUUCGCUAACGAGGAGCCCGUUGAGUUUGCUUUUGAGGAUCCAGUCAACUCUAACAACUUUGCAGGCAAGAUGAUCAUACCCUCGAAAUCACUACUAUCUUUGCUUUGCUAGAUGCUCGCUCUUUUGCUAUGCCUAUACUACGAUGCCUGUCACUUGCUUAUCAUGCCUCCCAAAUUGCCAUGUCAAACCUCUAACCCACCAUGUCCUAGCAAACCGUUGAUUGGCUAUGUUACCGCUUUGCUCAGCCCCUCUUAUAGCGUUGCUAGUUGCAGGUGAAGAUUGGAGACCGUUCCUUGUUGGAACAUUAUUUACUUGUUGGGAUAUCAUUAUAUUGCCAUGUUAUCUUAAUGCAUCUAUAUACUUGGUAAAGGGUGGAAGGCUCGGCCUCUCGCCUAGUGUUUUGUUCCACUCUUGCCGCCCUAGUUUCCGUCAUAUCGGUGUUAUGUUCCCGGAUUUUGCGUUCCUUACGCGGUUGGGUUAUAAUGGGAACCCCUUGAUAGUUCGCCUUGAUUAAAGCUUUUCCAGCAAUGCCCAACCUUGGUUUUACCAUUUGCCGCCUAGCCUCUUUUUCCCUUGGGUUUCCGGAGCCCGAGGGUCAUCUUAUUUAAACCCCCCGGGCCAGUGCUCCUCUGAGUGUUGGUCCGACCGAGUAGACUGCGGGGCCACCUCGGGGCAACUUGAGGGUUGGUUUUACUCGUAGGAUGUCUCAUCUGAGUGUGCCCUGAGAACGAGAUAUGUGCAGCUCCUAUCGGGAUUUGUCGGCACAUUCGGGCGGUGUUGCUGGAUUGGUUUUAACUUGUCGAAGUGUCUUGAAGAACCGGGAUACCGAGUCUGAUCGGAACGUCUCGGGAGGAGGUCUAUUCCUUCGUUGACCGUGAGAGCUUGUCAUGGGCUAAGUUGGGACUCCCCUGCAGGGAUUUGAACUUUCGAAAGCCGUGCCCGCGGUUAUGGGCAGAUGAGAAUUUGUUAAUGUCCGGUUGUAGAUAACUUGAACCUUAACCUAAUUAAAAUGAAUCAACUGUGUGAGUUACCGUGAUGGUCUCUGCUCGGCGGAGUCCGAAAAGUGAACACGGUGUUGGAGUAAUGCUUGCCACAGGAUGCCCUCUAGUUACUCGCUCGCGCUUUGCCUCCUUUUCUCGCUCUCUUUUGCGAACAGAAUAGCCAUCAUAUAUGCUAGUCGCUUGCCGCAGCUCCACAUAUUUCCCUUGCCUUACCUAUUAAGCUUGAAUAGUCUUGAUCGCGAGGGUGCGAGAUUGCUGAGUCCCUGUGGCUCACAGAUUACUUCCAAACCAGAUGCAGGGCCAGAUGACGCACUUGAGCUCAAGUGGGAGUUCGAUGAGGACUCACGCCGAUACUACGUGUCUUUCCCUGAUGAUCAGUAGUGGUGCCCAGUUGGGAUGAUCGGGACCGUGUCGCAUGUUGGGUUGAUCUUUUAUUUUGGCGCCGUAGUCGGGUCAUGAGUGUUUGAAUGAUGUAAUGCUAUUUAUGUACUUUGAUUGACGUGACGAGUGUAAGCCAACUAUGUAUCUCCCCUUUUAUUAUCUAUAUUACAUGGGAUGUUGUGAAGAUUACCUAACUUGCGACAUUGCUUUCAAUGCGGUUAUGUCUCUAAGUCGUGCCUCGACACGUGGGAGCUAUAGCCGCAUCGAGGGCGUUACAGUCGGGUUCCCCCCAAGAUGAUUGUCGUCCUGUGGUAGGCGUGUUGUUGUGCUUCCCUCGGUAAGCCACCCCGGUGUAUUGCCCCAUCAAACAACAACAUGUUUAACUCGCAACAACAUGUGUUUUCUAUGUUGAGACGGAGGACCAAAGACAGCAACAAGCUUGCGGCACAGAGUUUUGCUCAUGGCUCUGCCGGUGAAUGCAGUAGGAAGAAGACUUCGACACCCAAAAUUUUGGAUGUAUUUUCAAAUUUCUUUAUUAGUGUUUUUAAGGGUUUAUGAUAAUUAAUAUAUGGCCUUUUUCGUUCUCGCAAAUGAAAAAACUUCCAUUAACAACAAUAUCUUGCUCAAUGUAAUGUUGUGAUUUAAAAAAAAGGUGUAAGUAUUAACACUAUUAGUACAAUAUAACAUUUCCAAUUUGUAUGCGAGUUUUACCAUAAAAUACCUUUCCAGGUUGUAAAAAACUAACGGGGUUGUAGGCCUUCCCUACAAAAACUAACAGGGUUGUAGAUUUGGGGUACAAUACGAUACCAUCCUGCCCGCAGAUCCGAUCUUUCGGCCUCGCGACGACUAGCGGCUCGCGGGCGGUUCCUUCCGGCCACCGAUCGACCAUGCCGACGUCGAUACCGAACGACGUCGUCUCCGAGAUACUCUCCUGGGCGCCGGUAAAGUCGGCGUGCCGGUUCCAGUGCGCGUCCAGGGGGUGGCGAGAGCUCAUCUCCGACCCUGCGUUCGUCGCGGCGCACAAGGCCCGCACGGAGCCGCAGCUCCUCAUCGUCGCCAACUCCUUCCACGGCGUGGCCAGCGGAGGGCGCCGCCGCCGCCGCGACCUGCGGCUGCUGGACACGGACGGCAGCGUCGUGAGGGAGGUCAAGUCCGCAGGUGACCUAUGGACCAUCAUCUCCGGCCCCCGCGGCCCCGUCUGCGCCACCCGCGUCGGCCGCGUCCUCAACGUGAUCGAUCUGGCCACCGGGGACGUGCUCGUGACCUCCACGGAGAUGGGCGACAGUGGCGGAGCGUUCUGCACCUUGGGCAUCGGCUAUGCUGCCCCGUCGGGCAAGUGCAAGGUGGUCCGCCUCAUGACCACGUUCAGUCAUGGUCAUCAGCCGGAGCACACCUGCGAGCUUCUGGCGUUGGAAGACGGCGCCAGAGGAUGGAGGCGAAUGCAGUCACCACCAAUUGCAGACUAUUUCGGCCUCCACAAAAACUCUAUGGUCACCAUAGAUGGUAUGCUAUACUUCCUUUACAGCUUGUCGCCACCGCGAGUGGGCGGGGACUAUGUCCUCCGCCUUGACCUCGAGACCGAGCAAUGGAUGAGGUCCAUCAAAGCCCCAAAGAUGAGAUCGACGAUGCCCCGUAUGGUCGAGCUCAAUGGAACCCUUUGCAUGGUUCACUCGGAGGGACGCCGGACCAAAAAUGCUUGCACGACCAUAUGGCUCCUGUCUGAUUUGGCCAAGGGCACCUGGGUCAAGGCGUAUGUGAUCCCGAUGCCACAUGCCGUCGAUCUAGUGAUCGCUCUGAGGAUGAUGCGUCAUGGUGGAAAGCUAAUGUGCUAUUGCUUACAUAAUGACAGAGCAAGUCCGACGCUACAAGUUUAUGAUUCGCUCAAUGGGAUAUGCACACAGCUCCCAGAUCUUCCGGGUAACAAUUUGAGCGACGUUGGUUUUUGCAACCUGCACUUGGAAUGUUAUAUACGGUCCACCUAAGAUCUCACCGGCGGCUGCCAUCGGCCCCUCUUGAUGCUGUAUUGCUGUUCAUCGUCCGCCAGCAGGGAGUCACCCCAUGCUCCGCCUCUACAUCUCUAUUCACGGCCUCCACCCCUUGCCGAUGGUCUGCCACUACCACCGUGAGAUCCCGGGCGCACAUCGUGUCUCCUAACUCCUAAGUACUGCGGGCUAUCAAGUGGCAGCAGAUUAAAAAGCCUGUAUCUGGCGAACGGUUUCAUCUUUAUUUAUCUCAGAUCUGGUUUAGUUCCCAGUCGUUUCGUGGAUAUAUUUUUUCAUGGUUUGGUUGUGUCCAACGAUCUCCUGUAUACAAUGGUUCAGUUGUGAAUUCGAUAGUAGUGCUAAAUUCAAGCGCUCAUGAUGUCCUGACUGCGACCUAAUACCUAUAUGCUAUGAUGAUAUAAUCAUUUUUUCAGUUGGAUAUUUUUAUGUUCCGAAAAUAAUCUGCUAUUCAGAUCUGAAAAAGCGGACAAUCUAUGUUUUCUUGGAAAAUAAUCUGCUCCAUCACCUUGAGUUUUUCCUUUAUUUUCUGAAAAAGCGGACAAUCUAUUUUUUGUCAGGAAUUGCUUAAAUGAAGAGGUUACCUUCCUAUUUUCUUGUUGCUUAAAGGAAGAGGUUAAAUAUUCUCUAGUACGAGGCCUUUAAAAAAAUACAUAAUUGUAAGUGGUAUAGGUUGGUUCCUCCUUACAAUAUUUGAGGCUGAAUCUAUGUUUUUCUACAGUUAUUACUCUAUUUUCCCGUUCAAAUAUCAAUGUACUAUAGAAUCAAUUUUGUUAUAUAUCCAGAUUUUGGUGAAUUGUCCAAAAUUCAUUCUAUAGUUUAUGACCAUAGAUGUAGCGGACCAAUCUUUGUACCAAAAUAUUGCCAGUAACAACAAGAUGUUGAGGUCGCAUUAGAACAAAACCAAAAUGCACAAGCCUAAGAAUAGAACCAUUUGUACACACCAUCUCUCAAAUAAGACUAGAAGGGUGACGCGCGCUUUGCUGUGUCGUGUUCAUAGAGGAAAUGGAAGGUAAUUCUUAGUUUUUGACCCUCAGCUUUCACAAAGCUCUUUGGUUCAUCUAACCAAAGUUAUAAGCAUAAUUCGGUGGAAACAUGUAGUAACUAGCUACAGUGAUUGACUGGCAUAAGUUGACAUAUUAACUUAAGUAAUUGAAUUGCAUCACAACCAUUCAGGAUUUAACUAGCAACAUUUGUACAAUACACUGGCAAAACAACAUGUUGAAUGGAGUUAAUUGGCAUGGAAAGGGCGAUCUUGUCGAUGCGCAACGAGAAACAACAUAUGCAAGAGGAUGAUAAUCAUGUCGAUGGUUGAUUUUGGAUGUCGUCUAUUAAACCUGCAGCAGAUACAAUUUGAAGAACUCUGGUCACUAUUGAGACAUGCAAAUUUAGUUGAAGUAUGUGUUUGGAUCGUUCUCACUAGCAAAUAAAAGGUAAUACAUGCUUAGAGGGAUAUAAAUACAAAAGUGCGUGUUGACAAAAAUUAUUUGGAACUAAUAAUUUGUGGCAAAUCCCAAGGAUGGUCAAUUUAGGUAAGAUAGCUUAAAAUAAACUAGAAAUUAAAACCAUACAAACCAGGACUAGUCCUUGAUGGAACUUUUUGAUGAGCAAAAGCAUGCACCCAGUGGAGGCCGAGCCUUUAACAUGAGUCAACACGCUGCACAAAUUAUAGCCUACUCUAGCUAGACAACUAGUUGAUGCCUAGGUAUUUAACCUGGAAACCAGAAUACAUAUGCAAAACACGAGGGCUUGACCAUUAAAGAACAUUGUAAUGAAAAAGGGAAACAAAGGUAAGGAAACCCGAAUAAAAAUAUUGUCUUUUAUCAUUCACUCCACCAUUCAGCUUUUAUUUCUAACAAAAUAUGAGGGUGUGGACACACAAAUGUCGUGGGAAUAUAGCAUUAGAAUGAGCUACUAAUCGAAAUACAUGCACAACUUAAACUCUACAAUUGGGAUGCCAGUGCCACAUUUCAACCACCAUAAACAUGUAAAGCAAUGAAAGCUUGAUAUUAGGUUUCAAAGAAACUUACAAGAAUUAACAUUUAUAUCUUUGUACUUCAUGUAGGAGGAUGCUAAUCAUAAAUGACAAAAAACAUACUCACCAGAGCUAAGAUAGACAAAGCAUUCUGAUGAACCAUAGGUCUCGAAGACGUUGUAUAUUUUAGUGCGUCUAGUGUUACUUGAUGAGACCUCCUGUGUGAGCCUCACAAUAAUUUUUUUAAGCUUUGGUGCAAAUACAAGUAGUUUUCUCAGUAAAUCAAACUCAUGAUCCACUCCUUCAAAUCCAUUGAUUUCCACUUCUUCAAGAGCAGUCAAGGAGAUAGCUUGGGACCUCCAGUUUGUGGACUCACAGGGACAAUCCGUUGGGCAUUCUUCUUUUACCUAGGACCGAAAAGUAAAUGUAAACUACUACACAUCUAUUAUUGAGAUAUUGUUAGAGCAGAAAAAUAAUUACCACUGAUCUUAAUAGGAUGAUCUUAAGCUUCUGAAGUGAACUAGAAAUUUGAUCAAUCUGAAGGAGAUAAAACACGAGUGCUCCAAAAACAUGUCCAUCUGUUUUGAGAUCUAGCUCCAAAAGAGAGAAGUCAACAACCAUAUGCUUCUCUAUCUCCUGUGCAAAGUUGGGCUCAUAGGGGAAAAGUGACGAGUCCUGAAAAACAAUUUUGCAAGAUCUAUGUAAUUCAUAAAUUUUAGUUAGUAUAAUAUUCCAAUAAAUUAAGUAGGAGAGGGGACUUACUACACUUGCACGAAUAUGCAACAAAGGGGGUUGUCCUUGUCUAUCUGUCGCCUGCAACCCCAACAACUCGAGAUACCAAGGACCAAACACAAUAGAUUCCUCUGUGUAGCAGCAGUACCACCAGACAUUCUCCAUAAUUGGUGCCAAGACCGAAAUGUUGACCUCCAACAUCACUGUAAGGAGAAUCUCCAAUUUCUUAAGCAUGGGGGCUACAAUGUUGACAUGUUCUGUCGAGAAUGGGUUCACAAUAAGCUCCUGCAGCGACGGCGAAUUCACCCUUAGAUCACACGUCUCAAAUAAAAUGCCGCUGAGGAGGAGGGUGCCCAAGCGCGGGCAGCAUGAGAGCAAGGCAUCGAGGUUGCCAUUGCAGUGCAGUAGGGACAACGUCUCGAGCACAGGAAACUCGACGCCGACUGGCACAGAGCGAAUGUAUACAUGGUCCAGCAUGAUGUAGGUGGUGUGGCGGAAGCAAGGCAAAUCAAUGAUGAUGGACCUUCCUAAUAGGCCAAAGCUUGAGGGGAAGGAAGCAACGAACUCCUUCGGCUCAAGUUCCGCGGCGACGGACAACAACGAGUUGACUUGUGCGGUGCUCGCUAUGUCCUGCUGGGGGGCAUGGAUUUCCAACAGGGAAACUGCAGGAGGAAAAGAGAUCUGGCCGAGUGCUAGUUCGAUCGAGUCGAACACGACCUCGCGAAAGAUGAUUUGGCGGAGACUGGCCCAGAGGCCGCGCCAUCGCCGUGAGAGGAUGCUUGUGCGCACCGCAACUCCGAUCCAGGGGAGCUUGGCAAGGAUGAGGAGGAGUAGAUCAUCGGGAAGGAUGCUGAUGCGAUCUGGAUCUGGGAAACCUAGGCGACACCUAGAUCUGAACUCCAUCGGAGCUUUUGCAAAACACCACCGUUCCCCCUCCAAUGAGAGGGGUGGAGGGACGAAAUAAGACAGAGGUGAGGAAGCCGGGGAGAGGUGAGGAAGCCGGGGAGAGGUGAGGACGCCGGGGAGAGGUGAGGACACCAGGGAGAGGGGAGGGUGGGGAAAGGGGGCAGUAGUGGUGGUGUUUGGUGGGGUCGAGAGGGUGGGUGGCGAUGGAGAUUUAGUGGUGUGUGGUGGUGUCAAUUUAUUUGAGGAAAGUUCCUUAUUUGAUAAUGGUAAAAUUAUGGAUUCCUUAUUUGACCCUAGAGAUUUCAAACUUCGUUGUUUGAAGCUAGGUCUAGAUUUCAUUCUUUAAUACGACACUACUGACAUGUCGGAUUUUUGUUUGAUGGACAAAAUUACCCCUUGUUGUAUGUGGGCCAGCCCUGCCACUCGUCCCCUUAAUACAUGCCUCUCUCCCAACUCUGCCUUAUUUGGAAUGUUCUCAUAUGGAUCGUCUCCCCACACCUUGCAAAGUGGUAAUAAAUAGCUUGGCCUUCAAUCAGGCCUCACAUGCCCUGGCCCUCCAGCCAAAGUAGUGUUAAUUGUGUUAUGCAGUUCAUAUGUGAUGCCUGCUAUGAAGUGUGCUGCUUUUGGGUAGUAAGUCAACCAAAUUUAAAAGGGCGAGCAAAACAACUACGUGCACAUAGACAAACAGGUGGGGUUUGCAUCUGCUCACCCCUAAAGCACAAAUGCAGGCCACCAAAUAGCAUAACUAAUUUGGCAACCGAUGCAGUGUAGGAUACCAAACGAUUGAACAACAUGGUAUUGAGCUUGCAUUAGCUAAGGCAGGCCCGGUUGAAUCACACAUACAAGGGGCCAAAAAACGACGCAUGAUACCAAAAACACCACAAGUGGAGGAAGCAUUUCCCUCUCCCCCCCGUCCAAUCUGCGGAGCCCGUGCUGUCUCGUGGCGGCAUUCCAACAACUCUCAUAUGAACAACAUACACUACAAAAAAAGACACAUUCGUGAUAUUAUGGCCCGAACAAAAAAAGUUUAUGUCAUGGUUAUUACACUUCUGUGAUGAUAAUUAUGACAAAACCACGUAGCAUCAUCGAUGUGGUGGGCUCCUAUUUCUAUGACAAAAAAUCAUGACAGAAAAUAGGCUUUUCAUCCUAGGCGGGCCGGGGACGCACCUGCACUUCAGUUGGUAUACAACCUUGCUGAGCUAGCGCUGGAAACAGAAUUACCAGUACUACAUCCUCCCUCAGUUGAUGCUUCUCUCCUAGUCUUCCUCACGGCCGGGGUGGCCUCAUCAUGUUCAUCAUGCCUCUUCCGUGUGUUUUCUUCAUCUCUGUUUCAUAGAGAAAAAUUGUUAUAAUUUCGGGAUUAAUUCAGGAGUUGUAUUUUAUUAUCAUUGCCUUCAUGUAGUAAGUUCACUAGUGAAGUUUAUUUAUCUACUCUAAAUGAAUAUGCAUAAGGCUGUGUUUGACAACAAGGUAUUGCAAAAACUGUAGUAUUGGAAAACUGCGGUAUUUUAAACUAUAGGUACUAGAUACCACAGUUUUCACAUAUCAAAGUAUUUUGAAGUGUUGAGAAUACUUUGACGUGUUUGGUUGGUACUCAUUUACAACGACACAAAUUAGCUGCAUAGCUGUUUCAUAGAAGUUGCAACAUGGACGUUCUUAGCUGGCCUUGCAAAAUGAAUGGCCAUGCUCGCACAAACAGACCAGGUGGCAUGCCUGGGCAUCAGCGGCGGCUGGAGCGCAGCAACGCAAAACAGAAUAUUGGCCGACGCUAUGGCUUGGCUACUGCUUGGCUAACAUAGGCGCAUAGUGGCGAGCCGGCUAGGACGGUGAGCGGAGGCACGGGCGACGGUCGGGAGAAGUGCAUGCGUAGACAACAGUGCCUUGUGGACUCGCGUUGCAGCCAUCAGCACAACCAUGGCUGGCCAGCUUACUGACCAGAUGCAUGCACGGGGCGUAGGAGGAGAGAAGGAGGAGUGCAAGCGGAAGUAUGACGGGGCGUAGAUGUCAAACAAGCAGCGGCAGCGGCGCUUGCAGCGAGGAAGCUGACGAACAUAUUUGUUUUCUUCGCCAGCUCUGUUUUUAAAAAAGAGGUCGGAGGUUCUUUUUUUAAUACAGAGGAAAUAUUGCGGUUUUGGCAAUACUGCAGUUAUAAAUACCAUAGUUUUUUGGGUUGCCAAACAAGUCACAGUAAUUAAAACCGUAGUAAUUGAGAAAACUGCAGUAUUCCUAUAAUACUUAGAAAAAACUGAGCUACCAAACGGGGCCUAAAUGUUGGAGAAAUAAAUUCCAGAAAUAAGAAUGAUGCAGAUCAGCUACCAUUUGCAAUUUGGAUUUCAUCACAUGCCUUAAGUACAUUAUAUAGAAAUGUACACUUUGCACUUCAAGGCAAAACAGUUUAUCCGCUGACACUAUGUCAUUUUGCUUUUGGCGAACCUGUAUGAAAAUAUGACUAUUUUAAUACACUAAAGUGGACAUUUAUGAAAACGACAGGAGAACCUUUUGCUCAAAAUCCUCUAAUCACUGAUGUAUUCAAGAUAAGAAAGUGAUUUUUCAUCAUAAUUAGUUAAGCCCAGUCCCGAUUUCUGAAAACAUAAGAACUCAUACAGAUGGGGCUGUGAUAAUUGGGAAUACUGAUAAAAUAGUUGUGGCCAUGAAGCUUCUGAAGCAAAUCACAAGUAAAAGUUAGCCACAUAUGUAGUUUACAAAACUUUGUUGUAAGACCUCUAUUUUUCAGCUCUGAUUCGAGUUAACUUGGCUUCUGAAAGAUUUUUAAGCACUUACUAGAUAGCUUCACACUUGACUUGGGUAUAAUAAGUUUCAGAGUUCACACACGAAGUCCUAAAGAUUCAGGGCUAACAUUCAGCUCUGAUUCGAAUUCAGAGUUCAGGGUACAAAAUUUACACAACGGUUACUGUUUCCAUGCAUGCGUGACUCGUUCAGAUUGUUUACAUCCAAGUGAAGAUCCAACAAAAUGUACAAAAUUGAUUAAAGUACCAGAUGCUGUCAGUUUAUUCAAAUCUAUUGCUUAACUUGCAAGCUUCAAAAAAGAUUAAAGUAGGAGCUUCCCUGAGUAAAACUCACGCCAGCAUCAGGCCAUACUUGUCACAGAAGCCUUCUGAAUCAUGUCAGCAAAGUCAUAGCCGCCAUGUUUCAUCUUGUUUCCUGGGAGAAGAAGAAAAAACACCAUCCAGUUUCAGCACAUCUUCACCUGGAAGAAGGAAAACAGCAUCCACAUUCAGUUAAUUAGUAUGCUCCUAUUGCCCAGUCACUUUUUUUCUUGAGGGAAACUCGACGUCAUCUCACCUGGUGGUAAGCCACUUCAUGAUCGAUCCAUUCCCAAUCCCCUUGCUGACAUUUCAUUAAUCUUGUUUCUAUAAUUACAACAAGCACCAGAGAAGGGACACGCAGCUGAUCUUUAAAUCACAUUUCUUCACCAAUAUAGCAUGGACCUCUCCUUUGCCUUACGUGCUACAAGCACACACCAGAGAUCUCAUUUCUUCCAACUUCUACAGCCUCACAUCAGGAACAAACAAAUGUGCACCCAUCCUCACACAGGUUGGUUCAUACACUGAGGUACAUAGUAAAUCCUAUGUAUGAAAUUCUGCAAGACUCUAUACUACAUGGCAUCCCAUCCGGCUUUUCUUCAUUUUCCUUUUACCACUUUCCAGAUAGAAAUUUGCAAAAAUGAUGGUACAUAAGACCCACUAAACAAAUAUUCUAAGGGAUAAAGAUGCCCUCACUACCUAUACGGAUAGUGUUAUUACGGAAUAAAAUUAGCUAAAGAUAUAGCAGAAAUUAACAUGGUAAUGCUACAACCUUUUUUUAAGGUUACCAUAACAUAAGUUCCCUUGUUGCAUGAAAUGCCCUCUGUUUUUCAGCACCAUGGCAUACACACAUCAGUUUGCUUCUCCAGUAGAAAUACAAGGGCAUUAGAAAUAUCUGUUUACGUAGUGAUAGACAAGUAGGCCAUCAAUAGAAAUGUGACUAGCCCCUAGAAAAGUAUCACCCAGAAGGCCAUCCAAAACUAAAAGGGAAAAUAAACAAAAAUCGAUACAAACUACUAGUCAACAAUGGCCUGCUUAGAAUAACUAUAUCAAAACUGCAUUCUCAGCAGUGAUCAGCACCUUGUGGCCAACUGACCAUCAACAAAUCCAAAAUUGUUUCACACAGAAAAAUUAGUCCAAAAUUUCCAUCCAAAGGAAAAUUUGAGACUUCAUAUCAUCUUCAUGGCCAAAAUGAGAACAUUCUUUCAUGGAAAGAUAGAUUGAGGAUUGCAUUGAAAACUGCAACAGCCAUUUUAGAACAUAAAGAUACAGAGUGUGAAGAAAUACUGCUCAUUCAUACUUCAAAGCACUUGAGGGAUGCUCUGAUCUCUCACUCUUGGUUCCAAUAUGUGUGUCAAUAUGAGUAAGGCCAAGUCAUAGUAGUGCGAUGCUUUCUUCUUGACCGAAUGACAUAAUGCACAUACCAAUUUUCAUACCGGUCUUGGUAAUGUAAAUAUGAAUCUCGCAGGCACUUCCCUCUGCAAGUUGCUGAGUAGUCUUCGACAAGGUGUGGUGCAGCUUCCUUGUGAGGGCAUAUGUACUUCUUCAUGAAAUCGUUAUUGCUCACUAAAACUGGAGAAUAGUAGUCCCGGUCGUGGUUGAGCAAUCCAUUUUCCUUGAGAAACUUUACAGCGUAAUACCGGGGGCCUGAGCCGGCCCUCCAGGCUGUAAGUGAGCACUGCCGGCCGACGAGCAAUGUAUGCCGGUUCCAAGCCAACCUCGGAGAUGAGGAACUCAGAGCUACGCUGCAACAAUGUACAGCGGGUCCUUGGCGACGAGGGCGGCGACGUCGGCGCCGGAGAGGCCGAGGCCGGCGAGGAAGGCGAGGACUUUGUCGGGCUUGGAUGGUGAUUUGAGGUGGGAGAGCUUGGCGGAGGCUUUGACGGCCUGGGGUCGGGUGAGGCCGCAGGUGGAGACGAGGUACUCCUCCACGGCGAAGCCAGGGCCUGGGGAGAUGGCGGGCGCCGCGGUGGCGAGGAGGCGGCGGACAGGGGAUGCAUGGGAGGUUGCUGGACAUGAGAGGAGAUGGGCGAGGACGCGGUUACGCACCCUGGGCAUGGCGCCGCGUCGAUGGAACGACGGCGGCCUGGUGCGAGAGCGAGAGGAUUGGCGUGGUCUGGUCUGCUUCGACCUUGGAGAUGACAAGGUGACCCCACGCGUCACUCGCUCCUCUGAUAAUGGGCUGGGAUGGAGUCACUCGUAUACACGAUUAUACCUGGCUAAAUGGGCCGGCCCGGCCCGGCUAGGCUUACACGGGCCAGGCACGUAUAAUACACGGGCCGUGCCUGGCCGGCGCGCGUGCUCGCCUCUCCGGCCCAGGCACGGCACAACAGCCUCACGGGCCGGCACGCUGGCCCGAUUAGCACGGCGGCCCGAGUGGCACGGGAAGGAGCGAGCAGCCGAGCGCCUCGUCACGAGGGGCGAACCCUAUUUGACGCUCGCGUGCGUCCAUGUGCUCCGCUUCCGCUGAAGCGCACCAGCGAGCAGUGCAAACGGGCCGGCCCAUUUCGUGCGUUGAAGCAGGGCCAGGCAAACGGUUUUGGGAACCUUCUAGAGGGUUCCCUGGACCGAUUUUUUUCAUGUUUUUUUCCUUUACUGGUUUUCUGUUUUUCUUGUUUUCUUCUGUUUCUGUUUUCUAUUUAUUUUAUUUUUUCUUUCCUUUACUUUUAUGUUUUUUCGUUUUUAUUUUCAUUCUAUGUUUUAAGAAAUGUUCGAAAUUCCAAAUUUUGUUCAUGAUUUCAAAACUUGUCCACAAUAGUAAAAAAGGUUUUUAUAAAAAAAUCACAAUUGUUCAGCAUAUAUUACAAAAAUGUACAAUGUAUAUAUAAAAAUUGUUCAACAUAUAUCACAAAAAUGUUCAAUUUCUAUUUAAAUAUUGUUCAGCUUAUAUCACAAAAGUGCUCAUUGUGUAGUUAAAAAAUGUUCAGUGUAUAUUUACAAAAAAUAUUUUAUGUAUAUUUAACAAAAUAUUCAGCGUAUAUCACAAAAAUAUUCAAUGUGUAUUUCAAAAUUGUUCAGUGUGUAUCCAAAAAUGUUCUUUAUCUAUUUAAAAAUUGAACGUUGUAUAUUUACAAAAAUGUUCAAUGGUUGAAUUUUUUUUGUAUUUUUUCUGGAUCUGUCACGGCAUUGAGUUUAAAUAAAAUUGCGCGAUCAACUAACCAAAAAUACUUAGUAGCUCAACUGGUGAAGAACGGUUACUCGUAUUUAAUAAAGUAGCCUCUCGCUACAACGCCAUCGAAUGGGCCGGCCCAUUCAGUUCGCGCCUGCGCGAAAGUUCGUCCUUUUGACGCUAACGAGCGUCAGCUAGGGACUCCCCCUUUAGGGGGCAUUUAGCGCCGGUUCGUGGUAUUGGCACCUACGCGCCUGCGUACUGGGCCGGCCCAGGUUGCCUUCUUUCGCUCCUCCCGCACACCGCCUCGUUCGCUUGUUUCUAAAGUAGUAAGUAUGCACGUGCAACUCACGUCUCAAUCAAACCAUGUCAACUGUUCGGGUAUAAAUUUUUGAAUUCAAGGGUGAACAACUUCUCCAUAGAGAAUGUAAGGGCAUAGCCUAUUUAGUCUAUUCCUACGAAGAUUUUAGAAUGUUUAUUUUCUUGGGCAAAAAACAAAGGAACAUAUAAAUAUUGUCUAAGUGAACAUGGCGUCAAUGCAAAGUUGGAACAAAGAUACACAAAAAAAUAGGAGUCUUGACAGAACUAAAUUAGUUUUCUCCUUGGAUUUGAGUUGCUUGUUAUCUUCAAAAUUUGAAGGCUCGGCGGCUGCGGUAAAGCAACCCAUGGGAGCCAUAGCAUUCACCGCUACGAGCAGGAAGGGUUGGAUUUUUUUUUUGCAUCAUUCUCAAUUUAUCUCAACUUCUCAUGGAGUGCCACUACAGUUUAGACAAAGAGUAUCUAUUGUGUAUAUAGUUGCAGAACAUCUAGAAGCUAAAAACAGAUCAAUAAAGCGGUAGGUUCAUGGUAAGGAAUUGGAGAGAGUGAAUUUGGCAUUCUCUAUGACAUGGAUGGCAUGCAAGCAACCCUUUUUCUACCCUAUGCUUAGUUCCGAUAAUAUUAAACAUGAGUUGAAAAUGUCACCGUGCAGAAAGGCUACUAUUCUAGAAUGGGAAACUAUACAAUAUAAAGAAAUUGGGCAUGUGCAGGUCAAGGACUAUAAUAAUUAUUGUUCUGCAAAGCUAACCAGGACUUGAAAAAGAAUCCACACAAAGUUUAGGAUGACCAAAGCCACUCAAAGACCACCCUAUCUAAGAUGAACAUACAAGAAAUCAUACUAAAUUAAUACCGGAUACACAAAUAAGUUUAAUGGCUAAAAUGAAGGAUAUGCGUAAUGUCAUGGCGCUUUUAGUUAUUCAUGCACAAAUCCAACAGUAAGCAUGAUCUGAUGAAAGAAACAAAGAUUCAAAGUUAUCAGUUGACAAAAUGUGUUGAAAAAAUAUUGACUAUGCGAAAAAGAAAUUAAUAGAAUGUAGGCUUUCUGCACAAUUCAACAGCAAGCAUGAUGCGCCUUAUUAGGGGAAAAGCAACUACAUAAAAUCUCGGUAAAUUUAAGAAGAGAGAUGUUGCUAAAAUUUGUUAAAAGAUGUUACCCAUGCUUGGAAAGGAGUCAAUUGCAGUAGCAGUUGCAUAAGAGAUGAUGCACUGAUAUCUUGAAAAGCUUUCUUGCUUAUUCACACUUCCUGAGUUCAACAUAAAACAAUCAGGAUUUGACAAUCUAGUUGGUUGUAGCCGAUUUUCCAUGUGAAUGUUUUACCGAAAUGUUGAAGCUCAGCAAUGUUUUUUCACGGUUCAGUAGCUCAGUGUAAAAUAAUUAUGUGGCUGUCAAGUCUCCAUCCCAUGUUAUUUACAAUCUCAAACGAUGAAAGCUUGCUUUCUACAGUUCACCAAAGGUUCGAAGUUACUACUUUUUACUCAAAGAUCUGAUGUCUACUAAUCUCUCUCAAUCUUGUGGCUGAGAUUAACAUAAUUGUAGAAAGCAACAUCAACUCAAAUUUUAGUCUGCAUUGGAAACCACCAAACAAUUUCCAGCAAGAUGCUUUUUUGAAGAACAGAGGGAGUAUAUGACUUCCAUUUUUCUAGGAAUAAUGCAGGUAAACCUAUACAUAUAUAUAUAUAGGGUCGCACUAUUUGUCACCCUGGGUGAGGAAUAUUUAUUCUUCACCCCCCUUUAUUUUACCAUCAAUGCACCGUAAUUUAUGUUCCGUAAGUUUUGUCUUAUUUUCGACGUAAAAAGGGAUCAUAAAAAUGUAUAAUCGCCGUAAAAAAUAUUUUAUGUUACGUAAAAUUAUAAACGUAAAAACAUAGUCUAAAAUACACGUAAACUGCAAAUUUUUUUGUCUUAUGACCUACAUUUUUAUUUUUCUUAUGUCAAAUUUUACGUAGUGAAUCAAUAGGAAUAUAACUAUUUGAAUUCCAAACGUAAUUUAAUUAUGAAAUGGUCAUAAAAUUACCUAGGGUAAAGAAUAACUUAUUUUGCACCCUGCGUGAUGAAUAGUAACACUAUAUAUAUGGCAAAGUAUCAAGUGAAAACGCUCGUUAAGUGAAAACUGGAAACUAUCCUCGCACGCCAUUGGAUCGAGGACGUACGGCGUGGACCAAAGGUGAAACCUAACCAGGCACUUAACCCCUGUUUUGCAGCUAACCCCCUGUCCUUACGUCCUUGCUUGGUACCGAUUCACCCAAGAGAAAAUAAAGAAUCGUGCUCAAUGGAGCUCUAGCUCUAGCUCUCCAACGGCCGCCCCGUCCAGCAGCUCUAGCUCUCCGCCUGCCGUGAGCCCCCGUCCUCCACCGGCGACGGCCGUGAUCCCCUGCCCGCCUGCCGUGAGCCCCCGCACAUUCCGCCGUCCCCGGCCAUGGUCCCCCUCACUCCACCGGCGACGGCCGUGAUCCCCCGCCCCCGCCGACCACGGUCGUGGGCCAUUGCUCUUGGUAGCACGCAUCAGUACCGCUUGUAAUAAUCUUAUGAUGCAUCUCUGAAAGACAACUUGGUGUUAAACCCAAGACAGAUUUGAAUGAAGAAAAGAAAAGAACAUGCAAGAAAAUCAGAAGAAACGGUUGGGAUGCAUCUACGAAAGACAAUUUGGUAGUGAACCUCAUGUGUUGGAUGAAUUUUAGAUGGCCUUUGUGCCUAUAUUUUGCUACGAGAUUAUCAUGUUAUCUCUGAAUAUUUAUGUCUGAAUAUGUGCUACAUGAAAUGGCCAUGACAGAAUUUCAUUUUUCAGUGCAAAAAUAUUGUUCUCACAGCUGAUAUUUUGGCAAGUUAUUUGAUCGAGUUUACUAAGCUGAAAUGGAAAAGUUUUGUACAUAAAAUAGGGCACUUAGCUUAGCAUGAGCCCCCUGCCUACUGCUGCUGUUGCUCUCCGUGCGUGUGCUGUGGUGUGUAAUUAUCAGGGGCAAUGUUAACCACUAGUCCAAGAAUGGCAGAAUCCAUGUCACUGAAAGAAAGUUACCCAAGUAGCUAUACUACAGCCCCUCCAGAGCAAUGGGAAAGCUAAAUGCUUCACUUUUAAGUUUUAACAAGGGAAACUACAAAGAUUUCUGCAAGCAAUUCACAUUCAUUCUGCAAAUCUACAAUUUUAGUAUGUACAACAAUAGCAAUCAGCAAAGAUUUCUUGUACACCCACAUUCAUUCAAGAAUUUUCUGUACAUUCACAUUCACUCAGCUGCAGCAAAACAACAAGGAUGUGUCUGUCUCAACUCUGAACAUCCACAUUCAUUCAGUUACUCAGUACAGCAAAACAUCAAUUUCCCUCGUAGAGAAAAAGGGCAGGGAGGCGGAACCCGCGGCUGCGUGGUCUCCCUCGCAUGGAGCAGCGCCAGGUCGCAGGGUCGCGGAGGUCACCGUUUUGUGGGGUCAGCGCUGCCGCCGCCGCUGCCGACAUUGUCCCUUGAACUGCGUGUGGUCAGUGCCAGGUCAUGGCCCCGUCGAUGCUCCACCGCGGCCUCCGAGUAUGAAUUGCUAGGGGAGUGGCGGUGCUGUCAGUCGUCUCCGCAUCCAGUCACCGUCCAAUCACCGCCGUCUCCAGGUCGCCCUCGCACGGAUGCAGAACUAAGGAGGGGAUAACGAGGACGCCCUCGCGCGAGUGGAUAACCCCUGCUGGCAGUGGGUUAGCUGCAAAACUGGCGUUAAGUGGCUGGUUAGAUUCCACCUUUGGUUUGCGGCUUUGCGCCGUGCGUUCUCGAUCCAAUGGCGCACGAGGAUAGUUUUCAGUUUUCAGUGAGGAUAUAUUUACCCUUACCCCCACACCUACACCUGCUUCGCAUUGUUGCCCAUCCAUCGUGGACGUGCAGCUGCUGCCGCUGCGCUCUACACAUGUAUUGUUGUCCGCCAAUGUGCCUCUGCUCCCCGCCGCAGUCGCCUCCCCGGGCGACCCCACAAGUCACAACCAUUCGUAUCCUCUGAAACAUCAUUCAGUUUAUUCACAAAUUUUACUUCAUAAAAUAUUUUAAAAUAAAAUGGUGCCUCGUCUUAUGCGAAAAAUGAAAUAUCUGUAAAUAUAACUUCAUAGACUAUAGUGUUAAUAUAAAAAUUACAUGGCAAUAAGUAUUUGAAACACAUAACUGCACAGGAAAAAUCAGAUCCUUCCAUCUCGGAAGAUGAUCUUCGUGCCCUUCUUCCACCCCGGUUUGACAUCGAUAGUCAGGAUCUCCUCCAGUGGGAUGGUCUUCUACAAAUAGUUGCCAUGAGGAAUUAGCGUUUAGUGUUUAUUUUAGCAGCUAAAAUCUGUUUGUUGUUCUAUUAAAGACAUGCACCCAAAACUGAAAGUAAUCCAAAAUGACCGAGUAGACUAAAAAUUGAAGCUGGCUUAAAUAUUAGUAAGAACCGACCAGGCUGAAGUAUUUGAUUGAACCAGCAGAGAUGUUGCACUGCUAAUAAUCUAUCUUUAGAAUAGAUCAUGAACAAUGGUGGUUGUCACUGCAUGUACUUAAAGAAAUCAAACAUACCCAAGUAGCCAACUACACAUUUCUCAGGUUUAAUCUUGGGAACACAUUUACCUCAUACUAACAUUAAAUAAUUCAGAAUGAUUGAGGAAGCUAAAAUCCAAAUGCAGGUUAAAAUUCCUGAAAACUGUCAAAAUCAAUAAUACAACUGAAUUGUCAGAUGGAACAAAAAAGUAAAUUGCAUUUAUCAAGUUUAACCUAAACCAACUAACACAGUCUCAAUAUUCAAGAAUGUAGUUGCUCCUGAUUCUUAACAAAUAACCACAUGUGUACCACUCUUGAAUUUCCGGUAAAUAUAAGAGGGGGUAGGGAAAAAAGAUUGCUUAUAAAGAUUCAGCCGGUAAGAAUUGAGCGGUGAAAGGUUCCCAGUUAUUAUCCCAUAUUUGACCAUGAGCAUCAAUACAUCAGCAACGGAUAUGAAAUUGCAACCACAAGCAUCGGUCAAUAUCGAUCUUGGUAUAUGUAUGUGUGUACCUAAGCGUGGUCCUUGCGGUGGGUUCCUAACUUCAUAUGAAGCUGACCUUUCAGUGAUUCUGUCCUCGGCAGUCAGGCUGAAACCGUUUUCACCGGCGGCUUGCAGAUUUCAUAUGUGUGUGUGCUCCUGAAAGAAAAAUCCAUCCAGCUGUCUGCGUGUCUGCUUCUAGUGUAUGCGCGUAUCCCGACGAAGAAUCAAUCCACCGGGUUGGUUUUCUUGAUCGGCCGCUCGUCCUGGGCGUCGAGGAGAAGCGAGCGCCAGAUCUUGAACCUAUUAAGGGUGAGGGGCUAGCAUAGAUGUAGUCCGAGCCAUCGGCGCCUCCGUCGCCGCCUGACUGCUUUCUUCCGGCGGGCAAACCCUAGUACCCCGAUCCAACCCCGCGUGUCAGGCAGCCGCCGGAGCAUGCUCACCGGCGAGCACGUACUGAGCCGCCGCCAGGCCUCUCAUUCCCCAGCCUCCUCCGCCCCUGAAGAUGCGCCGCCGCAGGCAGAACCAAUGAAAUUGGGCCAUGCUGCUGCAUGCAAGCCUUUAAUCAUGCGAAUUAGUUUUUUUCCUCACGCAGCGGAACGUUUCGUCCCCUUGCUCGAUGGCAGAGUAUCGUGCGCUUCUGUUAAUUGCUAAACGUACACAGAUGAGAGUUAAUUUUUAUAUUAACGGUUAGAUCUAAUUAGAUGGAUCUGAUCGUGAGGUGGUAUUUUAUCCUGGUUGUUUUGUGUACGUGUUUCCAUGUGCGUUUAGGGAAGAAUAUGUUUGUUUGUUUAAUAGUACUACCUCCGUCUAGGUGAAUAAGUCAUUUGCGUAGUUCUAGGUCAUCAAUUUGAGGAAUUAAAUAUGUGUUAUAUGUCAUGAAAAGUAUAUCACUAGAUUUCUACACGGAUGUAGUUUCUAAAUAUAUAUUUUUUGUCACAUAUAAUACAUAUUUAAAUAGUUAAAUCAUCAACCUAAAACUACGCGAAUGAUUUAUUCACCGAGACGAAGGUAGUAGUAGAGAUAAAAAAAUCACCUCGUAUGCUCCUCCCACGCGUCACCUCGUUUGCUCCAUCGCGGUUGAUCGGUCAACCAUUGACUUUUGAAAAAAAUAAAAAAAUACAUAAAUUAAAAAUGUUCACGAAUUCUGAAAGAAAAGUUCACAAACUUCAAAAAUGAUUCAUCGAUUUAUAAAAAGUGCAUCAAAUUUGACAAAAAAUUCACCGAUUUUGAAAAAUGAUCGUUGGUUUUGAAAAAAGUUCAUAAACUUCAAAAAAAGUUCAUGGUUUUUUUAAAUCAUCAAAUUUGAAAAACAAAUGCACAGGUUUUGAAAAAAGUUCAUCGACUUAAAAAUAGUUCAUCAAAUUUGGAAAAAACAAUCAUCGAAUUUGAAAAAAGUUCACCGAUUUGGGAAUAUGUUCAUCCAAUUAGAAAAACGUUCAUCAAUUUUGAAAAAAAAUCAUCAAAUUUAAAAACGUUCAUAAAAUCUGAUGAAGUUUUUGCAUCAAAUUACAAAAACAAAAAACAAAAAGAAGAAAGAAAACCAAAAAAGGAAAACUAAAAGAAAAGGAAAGAAUAAAAGAGAUAAGAAGCUGUACGUUAUCACAAAAGGAGCGGCUGGGGUGGUUCGCGCGUUUGCGUGCCCUGUUAACGGGCGCUCUGAGCGCCAUUUAGGAUUUGCGCAUUUUCUUUUUACAGGUUAAUACUUGAUGCCAGGUACCCCCUUAAAAAAACUUGAUGCCAGGUGUAGCCCAUUGGCAGUGUCACAUUAAGCUAGGCUAGGUAGGUUGGGCCUGUUUUAUUUUUUUGGAUGUAAAAGGAGGGGAUUGUGUUGUGCUAUGCCUAGAGUAGUAGAGUAGACAGUUGUUCCAUUGUUGUACACGGAGUGUCUGCUCUCUAGUUUGAAUGCUCCCUUAUGAACAGUAAGAUUAAAAAAAUGGUUUUUGUGUGGUAAAUUUUGACAAAUGUUUUGUAUGCUUGAUAGAUUUCAUCACGAAAUGACAUUCGUGGUAGUCGUGGCAAAAACAUAUUUCAUGCUCAAAUUUUUUUUUGAAAACAUUUUGGUGUUGAUUUUUUUGCCAUCACUUCCACGAAAGUUAUUUCAUGCUGAAAUUUGUCAAGCAUACAAAACAUCUAUCAAAGUUUACAAAAAAAAAUUUGUGGUAGAUCUUUUUGCUAUUAUUUUAUGUUUUCCUGUUCAUCAAUGAGCAUUUGAGCUCGGGAUCAGGAAAGGAGUUUUGGUUUCAUUUUUUUUGCGAGGGUAAAAAGAGUUUUAUUCCUUAGAUAGAUGCAGAAUUACAAUCAGCUGGCAAAAGCUCAGCAAUAUAAGGUGGGCAAUUUUGUAGCCAACAAGCCAUGCUACACUCUACUCGUUCGCGAGGCGAUUUGCUACUCUGUUUUGAUCUCUAGAAAUUUCCAUAGGAAAAACUCUCUACCAACUAAGAGGUGCUUAAUCUCCGUGACUAAAUGGCCAUAAGCCGAUCGAUCAAGAAUACCUGAGAACAAUGAAGAAAGUGUCGUCAAAGAGUCAGAUUGGAUUACCACACGAAGGUUUGAUCACUCCAAAGCUAGCGCUAGACCCUCCCUAAUUGCAUGUAGUUCCACUUCGAGGGCAUCGUUGCAGAAGAAGAGGUGUCGAUAAGCAACAAAGAUCAAGCUUCCAUCACCGACCUCUGUUUUCUGAUGAAAUGUACCCAAUUGCACUGAGUAAAAUAAGAGAGUUUUACAGCACCAGGCAGCGGCAAGUUUUACAGCAUCAUGGGGGCAACAGAAAGGUGGAGCCCGUCAGACCACGCAAGAAUUUGUUCAUCCAACGGCCAACACACUCCCAUCUAAAAUAAAUUAACUGAACAUAUAUUGGGUGCCAUCUUCUCAGAUCAACAUUCGCUAAUUAAUCAAACUGCUCUUUUCUAAACAACCGCAAUCUCGUCGCACGUAGCUCUCAAUAAUCCGCAAGCAAAUCAUAAUCAAAAACUUUGGGAGUCUAGCCGGCUGACUGCAAUAUGCGCCUGCAGUGUGCCCUGGACUGAAGCUGAUCCUCUGCCUCGUUUUAGGCGUCAUGCGUCUGCAUCCAGUUUCAGAUCAUCUUCUCCUAGUACUCCCUCCGUAAAGAAAUAUAACAGCGUUUAGAUCACUAAAAUAGCGUUCCAAACACUCUUAUAUUUGUUUACAGAGGGAGUAGAAAGGAAGCGACAUACACGUUCAGCAAACUGAAAACUUUUGAGUAAGCACACUGAACAAAUAUACAUACCCAUGGACCGCUUGCUCUAUAGCUUAUCGAGAUGAUAAACCAGCAUGCUACUGCUACCCCAUGACCAUGAGAUACAUCUUUAUCUACAUUUCAGACAGUGUAAAACCCACAAGCAGUACCGGGGGUGGGGGGCACUUGGUUAACUAUGGCAAUGACACAGAAUAUAAGAAGAACCUGCAUCUGACUUCAAGAGGGGAUAUUUUCCCCGAAACGAACAUUGGAUUCAAAAUCCCCCCAAUAUGAGCGCCACUUCUCCUACAAGAUGAAAACAGCUUAGCUACUGCCAUUUCUGGACCGUCAGUAUCCUAUUACCAAGAAUUCAAACGAGAGUUAGAUGUGAAAAGGUUACCGAAAUAGUCAAAAUCAUCCCAUAAAUGGUGCUACGAAAAUGGCAGGUCUAAUUUAUGUUACUCAACGAAAGAAGAAAAAGUAAGUUUUGCAAGGUUCCACCGUCUCAUAUUGCCAGAAGACGAGUUAGACAUUCAACUACUAGUCUAUAAUUUGAGAUACUACUGGCACUGGGUAUAAGCCAACUCGGUAAUCUUCUGAAUCCUUGAAAGGAACCAUUUUAAACUGUAGCCUAAAUGAGGACCUGAAACAGGUUGAAACCAGUAGCCGGUAAUUGCAGGUAAUAGUUCAGUUCAGAAACCAGUACAGAUCAACGGAGGGGAAAUGUAGAAUCAGAACCUAUGAUAUAUGUCCAGGCAAUAAUACCAAACAUAAUAAUUAUUAAGAAAAACAAGUCUAAUGCGUCCGUCAUAACCAUUCAGAAAUGGUAAUCGUAUCAAAAGUAUUAGUUUGCUUGCACUAUAUGACAUCAUCACAACACAAGGGUGGAUUAAAGUAGAACAAGCAUUAUGGCCAUCUUCCUUCUGAUGAAAAUUUCAAACGAAUAAUUAUAGCAAAGGGGAGAAGGCACACAAUUGAACGGUAAUAUAACUACAACUAUGACUACAACAACAUAAAGCAUGAAACAAAGUACCUCCUGUUUAGUUUCCCAUUUUGCUGACACAGUAUCUUCAACAAGGAGAUAAGCAACUUGCAAGGACCACCUCUCGGAAUACUGGUGGAAGAUUCAUACCAUGUAAUCAUCUCAUCGAGCCAUUUGUUUACAUUCUUUGAUGCAGUACUUCCACCAACAAGAGGACCAGGAAGUAAAUAAGUGCACUACCAUCAGUAGUCCUUGAAGCAAAUAAAGAGGGAAAAAUAACUAGUGUUAACUGCAACGACAACCUGAUAACUCCAAGAGUUCAUGUUUACACUGUGUGUGUGGAUACACUGGGUUUUACUUGUGUGGCAUAAAAUGGACCCAGUGGCUCUCGAACUACAGUCCUAACAGUCAUCCAGAUAUAUAAUACAUCUAACAUUAUAAUUAAUAUUGUAAAGGAAACAACAUGGCCUAUCUUCUUGUGCUUGAUAAAGCUUAAGUAAUACUUAUAAGGCUUUCGAAAGGUGAUAAAAAUUCUGAAGUAGCCGUAAAACUGCCAAGUAUUUUCAGAACGCGAACAACAUUAUUCAAUUUUGAGAUCAGAUGUCCCUAGAAAAAGUAUAAGCCAAUAGGCCAUCCAAAAACAUAGAGCGGGGGGAAAAAAAGCUGGUACAAACUACUACUAGUAAACAAUGACAUGCUUUCUUGUACAGUCAAUAUCUUAUAAACAGAGCAACUGCAGGAAAACGAAGACUAUCAUCUUAGAAGAACUAAGAGGAAGGAACCAACAAACUAGUUCAAAACUGCAUCCUCGGCAGUGAUCUACACAUUGUGGCCAUCAACAAUUCCACAAUUGUUUCCGCCGUCCAAAGGGAAAUUUUGAGACUUCAAUUAAUAAUGACCAAAAUGAGAACAUUUUUCAUGGAAAGGUAGUUAAGGAUUGCACUGAAAACUGCAAUGGUCGUUGAGAACAUAACGAUAGAGUAUCCAGACAUACUCUAUCACUGAUAUUUGAAACCAUUUGUAGAAAUACCCUGAUCUCACACACUCUUGCUUCUAUUACGUGUGUCAAUAUGAUAUGAGGAUGGACAUGUUAACCGUAGUGCGAUGCUUCCUUCUCUACUGGAAUGGUGUGAUGGACAUACAAAGAAGUCACAAUCAAAUUAUCAGUUUCAUAUGGAAAUAGCGACACUAAAUUGACAUGUACCAGACAUAAUAGAGGAGACAACCAAGAUCCAAUUAGGCAAAGAACACCGAAACAGAAAUUACUAGCUCACUGCACAGAGUGUAAACUCUGUUGCGCCAUACACAGUUACCAAUACUCAUAGCCCGUUCUUGGUUUAUGUAAAUCUGAAACUGAAAGGCACUUCCCCUCUACAAGCAUCGGCAUAGUCUUCAGCAAGGUGGGGUGCAGCUUCCUUGUGAGGACAUAUGAACCUCUCCAUGAAUACCUUUUCGCUGAUACAGAGCGUAUUAUAAUAGUCCCGGUCAUGAUCUAGAAAUCCAUUUUCCUUGAGAUACUUUACAACGUAGUGCCGGGGUUUGAUCCGGCCCUCCAGGCUAUAAUUGAGCAUGGCGGGCCGAUGAGCAAUGUAUGCUGGUUCCAGCCCUGCCUUGGAGAUGAGGAACUCUGAGAUGCCCUGCAGCCUGUCACUAGAAAAACUCAGCAUCCCUGGAGACUUGGACAAAGCAAUGCGCACCUCAGCAUCUGACCACCUGAGCAUCUUCUUCAAGUGCUCCACUUUGGCGGCGAUCUUCUCCUGGCUGAGGCGUGCAACAGCCCACAACGCGUGCCUGAACAUCGCAGAGCCACAGGGCACACCAAUACCUUCGGCGCGUGCCGCCACUGACCGGACGCACUCUAAGCUUGAGGCGAGCAGCCAUGGUUGACCGAUACACAACUUGGCAAUGUCGCAAUCACCUAGCCCGCACUCUUUAAGGAACGCAACAUUGGGCUUGACCACUGUCUCGAGGUCGGCCGAAACAAGGCAUAAGCCGCGCCUGAGAGCAGGGAGGAGGUUCUCAAAGGAGACGAAGAGGUGCAGGUGGUAUUGUAGAUAGGAGACGAUGGAUCUACAUCGGAAUUUGUCACGGGAGAGCGAGACGAGGCGCGCGAUGUCAGAACGUGACAGGCCGAGGCCGGUGAGCCCAGCGACGACGGGGGCCAGGGUUUUCUCCACUCUGGCGCAGAGGAACAGCGGGUCCUUGGCGACGAGGGCGGCGACGUCGGCGCCGGAGAGGCCGAGGCCGGCGAGGAAGGCGAGCACGGCGUCGGGCUUGGAAGGGGACUUGAGGUGGGAGAGCUUGGCCGAGGCCUUGAGGGCCUGUGCUCGGGUGAGGCCGCAGGUGGAGACGAGGUACCCCUCCACAUCGAAGCUAGGGUUCGGGAAGAUGGCGGGCGCGGCGGCGGAUAUGAGGCGGCGGAGCUGGGAGGCGGGAGAUGCGGAGGGAGGCGAGAGGAGCUGGGUGAGGAGGCAGCACCUGAGCCGGAGCAUGGCGGCGCCGCGGAGAAGGAGAUUGGCGGGGGCGGCGGCGGCGGCGAGGGAAUGGGAAAAGCGCGAUGGCCGGUGGUGGAGUGGUUCGCGUGGGUGUGGUCUGAUCUCUGAUCUGGUUCGUCCCAACCCAGACCAAAGUGGGCUCCCACCCGUCAGUCUCACAUGCCACGUCAUACACUAUAAAAAUAUACAGAUUCGAAAUGUGAAAAUACAUUCAUAAUUUUAAUUCGGGUUGACCGAUUGAAAAUAAAAAGUUCCCAUCUCCACCGCGAGCCACUUGCGUGAGCGGCGUCGGAGGGGCAACCCUAGCCGCUCAAGACCCUCCUCCCGUGCUCACAGGGCGGCGCCGACGACGAUACCGACGGCGGUGGCGGUGCCCGACCCGUCAAAGAUGAUGGGCGUGGGUUCAACGCGGCCCGAUGGGCCUCCCUCGGGCAGAGGGAGUGGCGUCAAGUGGGCAGCGUGGGGAGUCCUCUAGUGUGGCGAUGCACGACGGGGAGAGCACAGAGCAGUGGAGCAUGAUUGGGAGUUAGAAGAAGAUAGGUGGUGCAUGAUGGUCCUCCAGAAGGCGCCGAUGUGGGAAGCGGCGCGGUUGGGAUGUGCGGAGGGGUAGCGGUGUUCGACCAGAUGACAUUGCGCGAGCGGCGGCCGGGCAUUGGCUGUUGUGCGGUCCUUUGGUGAAGCGCGCGUCACUAGAGCGGCAGGCGGGAUGCUGCGGUGCGGGAAUUUGUUGGCAGCGAUACUAACUGGAAUUGGACCCAUUCAAUGUCGAGCAGGUCCUGUCCACCUGGAGUUGUGUGAUCAGCUCAUGCUUCCAAUGCCGACGGCCUUGGUGUGCUGGUGAUAGAGGCUCGGCUGGUGCUGCUAGAUCUUGCCAAUGUAGGAGGUGGAGAUGGAGUGUGUUUCCUCGGCCGUACAGGGUGUCGAUGUUCCGCGCCGCUAUGGUAGAUAUAUUUGUAUGCUGAGUAUUAGGAGUGGUGUUAUGUAGGUAUUUGUGGUCAUACAAAUUGUAUAUGGAGUAAUAUAGUUAAUAUUGGAUAUUGUGGUGGUAGAUAUAUUAGUAUACCGAGUACUAGAAUUAGAUUUUUUAACAAACUAAUUAAUAAUUAAACCUAUAUAAUUGUGUCUUCGUGAUCCACAAUGUCGUAAAAUCAAUAUGAUGAAAUAAAAAGGGACAGUACAUACAUGCAGUUAUUCCUAGCAAGUUGAUUCUCAACAAAUGAAUAAAUUUUGAACUAAAAAAUUAUAGUCCAUUAUAAAUACAUGUGGUGUAUAUGUUUUGAGUAAGAUCCACAUUUUUUGUCAUGGUAGUUAGCCAUGCUAAUUAAUUGUCACACUAUGAAAGGAUCGAUACAGUCAACUAUAGAGGGGGGUGAAUAGGAGACUACAAAUUUUAAUCUUUCUUAUAGAUUUUAAGGCUUAGCGGAUAAAAGAGUUCACUAGAUAUGCAACUAGAUGAAUGCAACCUAUAUGACAAGCAAGCUCCAAGAAGAAAAGCUAGGCAACAAACUACUUAGCAAGCCAACAAGCAUACAACAACUAAGAAAGGUGCGGGAAAGGAUUAACCACAAGUGAGACGAGGACACGAAUUUUAACCCGAAGUUCACUCUUCCUUGGGGAAGAGCUAAUCUCCGUUUGGAGCAGUGCCGGAGCCAAAGCUUGCGGAAUGCCACCAAGGGCUCACCGUAUUCUCCUUCGAGUCACCCCCAACGGAUGAGCCUCGAACCACUCGGGGUUGGUCUUGAAGGCGACCACCACACCUUUACAAACUUCUCCGGAGCACACCACAAGCAAGGAAGCUUCCGGAGGAACCUCUAACCGCCUAGGAGCCCAAGCUCCAAGAGUAACAAGUCAAUGAGGAAGAAAUGUUGCGGGGAACGCGAUUUGGUUUGGUCAAGUUGUAGAUCGGGUCUUGCUCUCCCAAUCGCCAAAAUUUCAACAAGUUUGGGUAGAGGGAUUGAGAGUAUUGAGCAAAAUGGGGUGUAGCAAUGGUGGAGCUCAACAAGACAUUAGGGUUCGGGUUGGAGGAGGAAGAAAUGCCUUUUUAUAGUGUUCAUGUGAGGGCGGGGAUUUCUGCCCGUUGGACCCCGUGCGCACGGGCUAAGUCAGCCCCGUGCGCACGGGGUAUCCAGAGACAAUCGCACCACCCCGUGCGCACGAGGGUCUCCAGAGAGUUACACAGUACCCCGUGCGCACGGGGUAUCCAGAGAGUUACCCAGUACCUCGUGCGCACGGGGGUCAAAAGACCCCGUGCGCACGGGGUAUCCAGAGAGUUACCCAGUACCUCGUGCGCACGGGGUCAAAAGACCCCGUGCACACGGGGUACCCAGUAACUUACUGUUGCAACUUUCUGAGUACCACAGCACACACACUAGGUUCAUAUGAGGUGAUUGGAGUGGGAAGGGUAAGAGAGUAAGGCUCGGCAAAGGCAUUCCCACACAACAUUUAUCCACACAGACCCCUCUUAAUAGUGCGGUCUUUUCUAUGACUCGAAGCAAACCAAAACUAAACCUUCGAAGCGUCGAAAGACCACGCCUUUGUCCUUUUUGAAAUGGGGGGUCGCACAUCUCCAUCGCGGGCACUUAGAACCAAUAACCUGAGAUAAAUUUUAGCAACCGAUAUUAGUUCAACUAACCACAUUGUCAUCACACCAAAAUAUAGCUUAAGUGCCAUUAGCACUUUCAGUCUCCCCCUUUUUGGUGCAUUGAUGACAACGUGGUUAGAGCAUGGCAAAGAGGAUAAAUAGAUAGAAAGCCAUCGAAGAAAUAAUGAUCUUGAUAGCUCCCCCUAUAUGUGUGCCCGAAAACAAGAAUGCAUCUAGUACACCCAUAGGAGGUUCGAUCAAGAUCAUUAUUGAUAAGUCAUGAGAUUUAUCAAAAUAAACCUAUAACUGUGCCUAGAUCUCAUGACACAGUGUGGUGAGCAAAUAAUGUGAGACCCAAUAAGCAUAAGAGGAUAAUAGCAAGGUUCAAUAAUAAAGCUAGAGUCUCACAAUAACACUAGAGGCUCACAACCACACAGACGAAAAGGAAAUAAGAGUAUCUCAAGCCAACUAAAACCAACCAACAGCGAGAAACACGAGGCUUGAGAUCUCAACACACCCAUGAACACACCAACCACACACACCACUUCUCCCCCUUUGUCAUCAAGACAACAAAAAGGAGAAAAAUGGCGACACGAGACCCACUAGACACAAGAGGAGGAGCACUCGAGGCAUCAUCAUCAUCAUCAUCAUCAUCAAAACGCCACCUGGACAUUGGGAAAGACCGAGCAGUGGCCUCACUGUCGACGUCCUCAGAACCUGGACCGACCUCCUCACCAGCUGCAGCCCUUGCUGCCUUCUGCUCAUGCCGAACAAGCUUAUCCUUGUUGAUUUCCUUGAUCUGACGACGCUGCAUCGACUGACACAUCUUGAACAUGUUGCUCAAGGUCUUGAACAGCGACUUCUUCUCUCCCUUGGCAAAGAUGGCCUCAGAGCCAACAGACUUGGCCUUACCACGAGGGAUCCGUGCAGUAGAGGACAUGCCUGGAGUGUAAGUAGCACGAUCCUCAGGCCUAGGGUUGCGCCCCUUCUUGAUGGGCACAUAGGGAGCAGGAGCAACUGGGGUCUAGUUGGAGUUGCGCUUGGGAACAACAGUCUUGAAGCUAGCAAUGUACUUUGUUGGACAGAUAGUCUCAAUCAACGUUUGUAUGAAAGGAGCAUAGAUCAAAGACUUGUUCUCUUGUACACACCGACGCAGCUCGUAGUACAUGAAAUCCAGAACAUCCACUUUCUUCUUCUGAUGAAGAUACACAAAGACAUCAAGCAUGGAGCUCCGAAUGUUAUCGGAAUCCCCGGCCUUUGGAGUGAGGGUAUACCGCAGGAUAUGGCGCAUGGUGUCAUAGAGGGGCAAGAGGUCUUUGAUUGACCCAGUGACAAAUGACUUCUCUUGUUUGUAAGCAAAAGUAAUCUCAUCCUUAGUGCGCUGCCCACUUUCCCGAACAAUGCCAAACUCAUCAGAAACAGUCUCUUCAUCCAUGAAUGGGUAGGGAAUGAUCUCGGAGAACUUUGCCAUAGGAGCUGAGCACUGAUACGUUCCGGACAUCCAUGUGAGGGUGCGAGCAGAAUCAUUGGAGAAGUACAGAGUGGCAAAGAACUGCAUCACUAGAUCUUCAUUGUAGGGGUGGUUGAAGUGACAAACGGAAUCAGACCCAGUCGUCCAAGAGCGGAGUACACACCGGGAUACAAAUGAUCAUUGUCGCGGAAACUCUCAGUGUUGACUUGCUUGUGAGGAGCAAACUUCUUUCACUUGCUCAUAAGAAGCUCAUGAUAGAUUCUUUGCUGAAACCCAUUCUUGAAACGGGGAUCCAUUCCCAUACUCGUGGCCUUAACAUACAGAUGGUUAUGUCUCUCAGCCCAGAUCUCUAGCUUGGUCCACUUGACAAGAGGCAUAUUCCGGAGGUCACGCCUCCCCGGAGUGGCUUCCUCCGGACUAGACUCCUCUUCCUCUUCUUCAUCUUCCUCAUCACGAUCAUCUUCUUCAUCUUCCUCACCACGAUCCUCUUCUUCUUCCAUCUCAUCAUCUUGUGAGUCAUAUUCUUCCUCAGAUUCAUCAGAAGCCUCAACAAUGGGCCGCUUUGAGGCUGCAUGGCGAGCACGGCCCUGACCUGUCCCAGACCCCUGACCCAUGCCUUCAGACGGCUGACGAUGAGCAAUGGUGAAGUCCUUUGAUCCUCCUUUUCCACGCUUGCGACGAAGCUCGGACCUCUUGUCAGCGGAGUCUGAGACACACACAAAAACCCAACAACACAAAGCACGAGGCACAAAUGAGUACGAGUGCAAGAUAAAUGGCAAGGAGAUAGACAAAAUUCUAGGCAAUAGUUUCUGGAUAGCCCGUGCGCACGGGGGUUUAGACCCCGUGGGCACGGGGGUCCCGUGCGCACGCUACAGGACCGUGGGCACGGGGGCCCGUGCACACGGGGGUCAAACAUGAAGGAAAUAUGCCCUAGAGGCAAUAAUAAAGUUAUUAUUUAUUUCCUUAUAUCAUGAUAAAUGUUUAUUAUUCAUGCUAGAAUUGUAUUAACCAGAAACAUAAUACAUGUGUGAAUACAUAGACAAACAGAGUGUCACUAGAAUGCCUCUACUUGACUAGCUCGUUAAUCAAAGAUGGUUAUGUUUCCUAACCAUGAACAAAGAGUUGUUAUUUGAUUAACGAGGUGACAUCAUUAGUUGAAUGAUCUGAUUGACAUGACCCAUUCCAUUAGCUUAGCACCCGAUCGUUUAGUAUGUUGCUAUUGCUUUCUUCAUGACUUAUACAUGUUCCUAUAACUAUGAGAUUAUGCAACUCCUGUUUACCGGAGGAACACUUUGGGUACUACCAAACGUCACAACGUAACUGGGUGAUUAUAAAGGAGUACUACAGGUGUCUCCAAUGGUAGAUGUUGGGUUGGCGUAUUUCGAGAUUAGGGUUUGUCACUCCGAGUGUCGAAGAGGUAUCUCUGGGCCCUCUCGGUAAUACACAUCACAUAAGCCUUGCAAGCAUUAUAACUAAGAUGUUAGUUGUGAGAUGAUGUAUUACGGAACGAGUAAAGAGACUUGCCAGUAACAAGAUUGAACUAGGUAUUGGAUACCGACGAUCGAAUCUCGGGCAAGUAACAUACCGAUGACAAAGGGAGCAACAUAUGUUGUUAUGCGGUCUGACCGAUAAAGAUCUUCGUAGAAUAUGUAGGAGCCAAUAUGGGCAUCCAGGUCCCACUAUUGGUUAUUGACCGGAGACGUGUCUCGGUCAUGUCUACAUUGUUCUCGAACCGUAGGGUCCGCACGCUUAACGUUACGAUGACAGUUAUUAUGAGUUUAUGCAUUUUGAUGUACCAAAGGUUGUUCGGAGUCCCGGAUGUGAUCACGGACAUGACGAGGAGUCUCGAAAUGGUCAAGACGUAAAUAUUGAUAUAUUGGAAGCCUAUGUUUGGACAUCGGAAGUGUUCCGGGUGAAAUCGGGAUUUUACCGGAUUACCGGGAGGGUUACCGGAACCCCCCGGGAGCCAAAUGGGCCAACAUGGGCCUUAGUGGAAAGGUGAGAGGGCAGCCCACAUAGGGCUGCGCCUCCCCCCCUCUCCCUAGUCCUAUUAGGACUAGGAGAGGGGCCGGCCACCUCUCUCUUUCUCUUCCCCUUUGGGGAAUCCUAUUAGGAAUAGGAUUGGGGGGGGGGGGAGUCCUACUCCCGGUAGGAGUAGGACUCCUCCUGCGCCUCCUAGCUUGGCCGGCCAGCCUCCCCCCCUUCAUCCUUUAUAUACGGGGGCAGGGGGCACCUCUAGACACACAAGUUGAUCCUUGAGAUCGUUCCUUAGCUGUGUGCGGUGCCCCCUGCCACCAAAUUCCACCUCGAUCAUACUGUUGUAGUGCUUAGGCGAAGCCCUGCGUCAGUAGUACAUCAAGAUCGUCACCACGCCGUCGUGCUGACGGAACUCUUCCUCGACGCUAUGCUGGAUCGGAGCCCGAGGAUCGUCAUCGAGCUGAACGUGUGCUAAGAACUCGGAGGUGCCGGAGUAACGGUGCUUGGAUCGGUCGGAUCGGGAAGACGUACGACUACUUCAUCUACGUUGUGUGAUCGCUUCCGCAGUCGGUCUGCGUUGGUACGUAGACAACACUCUCCCCUCUCGUUGCUAUGCAUCACCAUGAUCUUGCGUGUGCGUAGGAAAUUUUUUGAAAUUACUACGUUCCCCAACAGUGGCAUCCGAGCCUAGGUUUUAUGGUUUGAUGUUAUUUGCAUGAGUAGAACACAAGUGAGUUGUGGGCGAUACAAGUCAUACUGCCUACCAGCAUGUCAUACUUUGGUUCGGCGGUAUUGUUGGAUGAGACGACCCGGACCAACCUUACGCGUACGCUUACGCGAGACCGGUUCCCUCGACGUGCUUUGCACAUAGAUGGCUUGCGGGCGACUGUCUCUCCAACUUUAGUUGAACCAAGUGUGGCUACGCCCGGUCCUUGAGAAGGUUAAAACGGAGUCUAUUUGACGAACUAUCGUUGUGGUUUUGAUGCGUAGGUGAGAUGAGUUCUUACUUAAGCCCGUAGCAGCCACGUAAAACUUGCAACAACAAAGUAGAGGACGUCUAACUUGUUUUUGCAGGGCAUGUUGUGAUGUGAUAUGGUCAAGGCAUGAUGCUGAUUUUAUUGUAUGAGAUGAUCAUGUUUUGUAACCAAGUUAUCGGCAACUGGCAGGAGCCAUAUGGUUGUCGCUUUAUUGUAUGCAGUGCAAUCGCGAUGUAAUGCUUUACUUUAUUACUAAGCGGUAGUGAUAGUCGUGGAAGCAUAAGAUUGGAGAGACGACAACGAUGCUACGAUGGAGAUCAAGGUGUCGCGCCGGUGACGAUGGUGAUCAUGACGGUGCUUCGGAGAUGGAGAUCACAAGCACAAGAUGAUGAUGGCCAUAUCAUAUCACUUAUAUUGAUUGCAUGUGAUGUUUAUCCUUUUAUGCAUCUUAUCUUGCUUUGAUUGACGGUAGCAUUAUAAGAUGAUCUCUCACUAAAUUAUCAAGAAGUGUUCUCCCUGAGUAUGCACCGUUGCCAAAGUUCGUCGUGCCCAGACACCACGUGAUGAUCGGGUGUGAUAAGCUCUACGUCCAUCUACAACGGGUGCAAGCCAGUUUUGCACACGCAGAAUACUCAGGUUAAACUUGACGAGCCUAGCAUAUGCAGAUAUGGCCUCGGAACACAGAGACCGAAAGGUCGAGCGUGAAUCAUAUAGUAGAUAUGAUCAACAUGACGAUGUUCACCAUUGAAAACUACUCCAUCUCACGUGAUGAUCGGUUAUGGUUUAGUUGAUUUGGAUCACGUGAUCACUUAGAGGAUUAGAGGGAUGUCUAUCUAAGUGGGAGUUCCUAAGUAAUAUGAUUAACUAAACUUAAACUUAUCAUGAACUUAGUACCUGAUAGUAUCUUGCUUGUUUAUGUUGAUUGUAGAUAGAUGGCUCGUGCUGUUGUUCCGUUGAAUUUUAAUGCGUUCCUUGAGAAAGCAAAGUUGAAAGAUGAUGGUAGCAAUUACACGGACUGGGUCCGUAACCUGAGGAUUAUCCUCAUUGCUGCACAGAAGAAUUACGUCCUGGAAGCACCGCUGGGUGCCAGGCCUGCUGCUAGAGCAACGCCAGAUGUUAUGAACGUCUGGCAGAGCAAAGCUGAUGACUACUCGAUAGUUCAGUGUGCCAUGCUUUACGGCUUAGGAUCGGGACUUCAACGACGUUUUGAACGUCAUGGAGCAUAUGAGAUGUUCCAGGAGUUGAAGUUAAUAUUUCAAGCAAAUGCCCGAAUUGAGAGAUAUGAAGUCUCCAAUAAGUUCUAUAGCUGCAAGAUGGAGGAGAACAGUUCUGUCAGUGAGCAUAUACUCAAAAUGUCUGGGUAUAAUAAUCACUUGAUUCAGAUGGGAGUUAAUCUUCCAGAUGAUUGAGUCAUUGACAGAAUUCUCCAAUCACUGCCACCAAGCUACAAGAGCUUCGUGAUGAACUAUAAUAUGCAAGGGAUGAACAAGACUAUUCCCGAGCUCUUCGCAAUGUUGAAAGCUGCGGAGGUAGAAAUCAAGAAGGAGCAUCAAGUGUUGAUGGUCAACAAGACCACUAGUUUCAAGAAAAAGGGCAAAGGGAAGAAGAAGGGGAACUUCAAGAAGAACAGCAAGCAAGUUACUGCUCAGGAGAAGAAACCCAAGUCUGGACCUAAGCCUGAAACUGAGUGCUUCUACUGCAAGCAGACUGGUCACUGGAAGCGGAACUGCCCCAAGUAUUUGGCGGAUAAGAAGGAUGGCAAGGUGAACAAAGGUAUAUGUGAUAUACAUGUUAUUGAUGUGUACCUUACUAGAGCUCGCAGUAGCACCUGGGUAUUUGAUACUGGUUCUGUUGCUAAUAUUUGCAACUCGAAACAGGGACUACGGAAUAAGCGGACGCUAGAAAAGGACGAGGUGACGAUGCGCGUGGGAAACGGUUCCAAAGUCGAUGUGAUCGCGGUCGGCACGCUACCUCUACAUCUACCUUCGGGAUUAAUAUUAGACCUAAAUAAUUGUUAUUUGGUGCCAGCGUUAAGCAUGAACAUUAUAUCUGGAUCUUGUUUAAUGCGAGACGGUUAUUCAUUUAAAUCAGAGAAUAAUGGUUGUUCUAUUUAUAUGAGUAAUAUCUUUUAUGGUCAUGCACCUUUGAAGAGUGGUCUAUUCUUGUUGAAUCUCGAUAGUAGUGAUACACAUAUUCAUAAUGUAGAAGCCAAAAGAUGCAGAGUUGAUAAUGAUAGUGCAACUUAUUUGUGGCACUGCCGUUUAGGUCAUAUCGGUGUAAAGCGCAUGAAGAAACUCCAUACUGAUGGGCUUUUGGAACCACUUGAUUAUGAAUCACUUGGUACUUGCGAACCGUGCCUCAUAGGCAAGAUGACUAAAACACCGUUCUCUGGUACUAUGGAGAGAGCAACAGAUUUAUUGGAAAUCAUACAUACCGAUGUAUGUGGUCCGAUGAACAUUGAGGCUCGUGGCGGAUAUCGUUAUUUUCUCACCUUCACAGAUGAUUUAAGCAGAUAUGGGUAUAUCUACUUAAUGAAACAUAAGUCUGAAACAUUUGAAAAGUUCAAGGAAUUUCAGAGUGAAGUUGAAAAUCAUCGUAACAAGAAAAUAAAGUUUCUACGAUCUGAUCGUGGAGGAGAAUAUUUGAGUUACGAGUUUGGUGUACAUUUGAAAAAUUGUGGAAUAGUUUCGCAACUCACGCCACCCGGAACACCACAGCGUAAUGGUGUGUCCGAACGUCAUAAUCGUACUUUACUAAAUAUGGUGCGAUCUAUGAUGUCUCUUACUGAUUUACCGCUAUCGUUUUGGGGUUAUGCUUUAAAGACGGCCGCAUUCACGUUAAAUAGGGCACCAUCAAAAUCCGUUGAGACGACGCCUUAUGAACUAUGGUUUGGCAAGAAACCAAAGUUGUCGUUUCUUAAAGUUUGGGGCUGCGAUGCUUAUGUGAAAAAGCUUCAACCUGAUAAGCUCAAACCCGAAGCGGAGAAAUGUGUCUUCAUAGGAUACCCAAAGGAGACUGUUGGGUAUACCUUCUAUCACAGAUCCGAAGGCAAGACAUUUGUUGCUAAGAAUGGAUCAUUUCUAGAGAAGGAGUUUAUCUCGAAAGAAGUGAGUGGGAGGAAAGUAGAACUUGACGAGGUAACUGUACCUGCUCCCUUAUUGGAAAAUAGUACAUCACAGAAAACUGUUUCUGCGACACCUAUACCAAUUAGUGAGGAAGCUAAUGAUGAUGAUCAUGAAACUUCAGGACAAGAUACUACUGAACCACGUAGAUCAACCAGAGUGAGAUCCGCACCAGAGUGGUACGGUAAUCCAAUUCUGGAAGUCGUGCUACUAGAUCAUGAUGAACCUACGAACUAUGAAGAAGCGAUGGUGAGCCCAGAUUCCGCAAAGUGGCUUGAGGCCAUGAAAUCUGAGAUGGGAUCCAUGUAUGAGAACAAAGUAUGGACUUUGGUUGACUUGCCCGAUGAUCGGCAAGCAAUUGAGAAUAAAUGGAUCUUCAAGAAAAAGACUGACGCUGGCAGUAAUAUUACUGUCUAUAAAGCUCGACUUGUCGCAAAAGGUUUUCGACAAGUUCAAGGGGUUGACUACGAUGAGACCUUCUCACCCGUAGCGAUGCUUAAGUCCGUCAGAAUCAUGUUAGCAAUUGCCGCAUUUUAUGAUUAUGAAAUAUGGCAGAUAGAUGUCAAAACUGCAUUCCUGAAUGGAUUUCUGGAAGAAGAGUUGUAUAUGAUGCAACCAGAAGGUUUUGUCGAUCCAAAGGGAGCUAACAAAGUGUGCAAACUCCAGCGAUCCAUUUAUGGACUGGUGCAAGCAUCUCGGAGUUGGAAUAAACGCUUUGAUAGUGUGAUCAAAGCAUUUGGCUUUAUACAGACUUUUGGAGAAGCCUGUAUUUACAAGAAAGUGAGUGGGAGCUCUGUAGCAUUUCUGAUAUUAUAUGUGGAUGACAUAUUGCUGAUUGGAAAUGAUAUAGAAUUUCUGGAUAGCAUAAAGGGAUACUUGAAUAAAAGUUUUUCGAUGAAAGACCUCGGGGAAGCUGCUUACAUAUUAGGCAUAAAGAUCUAUAGAGAUAGAUCAAGACGCUUAAUUGGACUUUCACAAAGCACAUACCUUGACAAGAUUUUGAAGAAGUUCAAAAUGGAUCAAGCAAAGAAAGGGUUCUUGCCUGUGUUACAAGGUGUGAAGUUGAGUCAGACUCAAUGCCCGACCACUACAGAAGAUAGAGAGAAAAUGAAAGAUGUUCCCUAUGCUUCAGCCAUAGGCUCUAUCAUGUAUGAAAUGCUGUGUACCAGACCUGAUGUGUGCCUUGCUAUAAGUUUAGCAGGGAGGUACCAAAGUAAUCCAGGAGUGGAUCACUGGACAGCGGUCAAGAACAUCCUGAAAUACCUGAAAAGGACUAGGGAUAUGUUUCUCGUAUAUGGAGGUGACAAAGAGCUCACCGUAAGAGGUUACGUUGAUGCAAGCUUUGACACUGAUCCGGACGAUUCUAAAUCGCAAACCGGAUACGUGUUUACUUUAAACGGUGGAGCUGUCAGUUGGUGCAGUUCUAAACAAAGCAUCGUAGCGGGAUCUACAUGUGAAGCGGAGUACAUAGCUGCUUCGGAAGGAGUCUGGAUGAAGGAGUUCAUAUCCGAUCUAGGUGUCAUACCUAGUGCAUCGGGUCCAAUGAAAAUCUUUUGUGACAAUACUGGUGCAAUUGCUUUGGCAAAGGAAUCCAGAUUUCACAAAAGGACCAAACACAUCAAGAGACGCUUCAACUCCAUCCGGGAUCUAGUCCAGGUGGGAGACAUAGAGAUUUGCAAGAUACAUACGGAUCUGAAUGUUGCAGACCCGUUGACUAAGCCUCUUCCACGAGCAAAACAUGAUCAGCACCAAGGCUCCAUGGGUGUUAGAAUCAUUACUGUGUAAUCUAGAUUAUUGACUCUAGUGCAAGUGGGAGACUGAAGGAAAUAUGCCCUAGAGGCAAUAAUAAAGUUAUUAUUUAUUUCCUUAUAUCAUGAUAAAUGUUUAUUAUUCAUGCUAGAAUUGUAUUAAUCGGAAACAUAAUACAUGUGUGAAUACAUAGACAAACAGAGUGUCACUAGUAUGCCUCUACUUGACUAGCUCGUUAAUCAAAGAUGGUUAUGUUUCCUAACCAUGAACAAAGAGUUGUUAUUUGAUUAACGAGGUGACAUCAUUAGUUGAAUGAUCUGAUUGACAUGACCCAUUCCAUUAGCUUAGCACCCGAUCGUUUAGUAUGUUGCUAUUGCUUUCUUCAUGACUUAUACAUGUUCCUAUAACUAUGAGAUUAUGCAACUCCCGUUUACCGGAGGAACACUUUGGGUACUACCAAACGUCACAACGUAACUGGGUGAUUAUAAAGGAGUACUACAGGUGUCUCCAAUGGUAGAUGUUGGGUUGGCGUAUUUCGAGAUUAGGGUUUGUCACUCCGAGUGUCGGAGAGGUAUCUCUGGGCCCUCUCGGUAAUACACAUCACAUAAGCCUUGCAAGCAUUAUAACUAAGAUGUUAGUUGUGAGAUGAUGUAUUACGGAACGAGUAAAGAGACUUGCCAGUAACAAGAUUGAACUAGGUAUUGGAUACCGAUGAUCGAAUCUCGGGCAAGUAACAUACCGAUGACAAAGGGAGCAACAUAUGUUGUUAUGCGGUCUGACCGAUAAAGAUCUUCGUAGAAUAUGUAGGAGCCAAUAUGGGCAUCCAGGUCCCGCUAUUGGUUAUUGACCGGAGACGUGUCUCGGUCAUGUCUACAUUGUUCUCGAACCGUAGGGUCCGCACGCUUAACGUUACGAUGACAGUUAUUAUGAGUUUAUGCAUUUUGAUGUACCGAAGGUUGUUCGGAGUCCCGGAUGUGAUCACGGACAUGACGAGGAGUCUCGAAAUGGUCAAGACGUAAAGAUUGAUAUAUUGGAAGCCUAUGUUUGGACAUCGGAAGUGUUCCGGGUGAAAUCGGGAUUUUACCGGAUUACCGGGAGGGUUACCGGAACCCCCCGGGAGCCAAAUGGGCCAACAUGGGCCUUAGUGGAAAGGUGAGAGGGCAGCCCACAUAGGGCUGCGCCUCCCCCCCUCUCCCUAGUCCUAUUAGGACUAGGAGAGGGGCCGGCCACCUCUCUCUUUCUCUUCCCCUUUGGGGAAUCCUAUUAGGAAUAGGAUUGGGGGGGGGGAGUCCUACUCCCGGUAGGAGUAGGACUCCUCCUGCGCCUCCUAGCUUGGCCGGCCAGCCUCCCCCCUUCAUCCUUUAUAUACGGGGGCAUGGGGCACCUCUAGACACACAAGUUGAUCCUUGAGAUCGUUCCUUAGCCGUGUGCGGUGCCCCCUGCCACCAAAUUCCACCUCGAUCAUAUUGUUGUAGUGCUUAGGCGAAGCCCUGCGUCAGUAGUACAUCAAGAUCGUCACCACGCCGUCGUGCUGACGGAACUCUUCCUCGACGCUUUGCUGGAUCGGAGCCCGAGGAUCGUCAUCGAGCUGAACGUGUGCUAAGAACUCAGAGGUGCCGGAGUAACGGAGCUUGGAUCGGUCGGAUCGGGAAGACGCACGACUACUUCCUCUACGUUGUGUGAUCGCUUCCGCAGUCGGUCUGCGUUGGUACGUAGACAACACUCUCCCCUCUCGUUGCUAUGCAUCACCAUGAUCUUGUGUGUGCGUAGGAAAUUUUUUGAAAUUACUACGUUCCCCAACAAAACACCCCGUGGCCACGGGGGUCUCCCAGCGGCAGCCACUACCAGAAAGAGCUCCGGGAGUGGGUGCAGCAGAGGGACCAACGGAUCUACGCACUAGACUUCUAUCUACAAACUAGUUGAGGCCAAACGAAUCUAGGGAGCAAGGAAACCCUAAAGCUAGAACAAAAGAGGGGAACUCAAGGAGAUGGAACAAGAGGAGAGGACCAACCGGAGGAGGACCCCAUCAGGAUCCAGAUCCACGGAGGAAGAACUCCGACAUGGCCCGGAGGAGCUCCGGCAAGUGGGGGCGACGACGGCGGUGCUGGAGGCUUCCUGGGGAGUGGAGGGGGCGAAUGGGUGGGAAUGAACCCGAGCCCCCCACGCCCCACCUCUUCAGGACCAGAAACCGCAGACCCCGUGCGCACGGGCUAAGUGAGCCCCGUGCGCACAGGGGUCCCGUGCGCAUGGUAUAGAGCCCGUGGGCACGGGGGCCCCGUGGGCACGGUACAGGCCCGUGCGCAUGGGGUAUUCAGGAACUUUGACAUGAGUGGAUUUUUAGAUACAUGGCUAAGUGUAUACUCUUACCCCUACUUCACAAGGCACUCGGUCUACGUUUCUGAACACGCCGCGAGGAAAGUCCUAUCACUAUGGAAGGGGUAUAUGUGGAACACUUGUAUCAAAAAGAAGCAAGGAGAACCAACCAAAAAAAUGAAAAGAAACACCACAUGAUGCGACCGCAUGUAAUUUAAAUACCAAUAUUGUUGUUUCGCCUGAAGUUGGUGUUGUCCAAAAAUACACUGCAUAUACACUGGAGCAACCACGCCUAAGUUCCGGAGAUGAACAACCACUUGUAGAAGUUAAGUUAAUGCACGAUGAUGUGUUGCAGUGCAUAGGAAAAGAUGAGAGACAUGUUCAAAUUGAGAUGAUAAUUGCUACUGGGAUGGACGUGCAUGCAUCUGACGGAAAUCAGGAAAAAGAAUAUUCUAAUUAUUUUGGUAAGCCACGUUUUGAAGGGGGGUUCAAGGAGUCUAGGUUUGAUCUUGUGUGUUUGCUUGCCAAGGUUACUUGCUCCAUUAGGAUUAUUAAAACAAGAAGAUUAUUGAUGUUUCUUUUCCUGCCCAGCAAGGAAAAGAUCAACGUGAGGAUUCUGUUUAGGAAACGAUUCAGCUUGAAGGAUGUUGGGUGGGGCCCACCAGCACUGGUGCAACGCAUGCCUCAAACUAGUAGUUUUUGUUUUCCUAUAAAUAGAUCUAGUCGGUUUAUCUUAUGCUUACCUUUUAUUUAAAGUACGUACCAAGUGCUUGUUUUCCAAGCUAGUUAUGAUGUGUGGCUAUUAUAUAAAGCCAAUUGAGUCAUUUGUAAAGGGAGGUUAUUUUAUAUAAAAUAGACACGAUGUGUUUUUCAGGGUAGACACCCGUAUCAAGUUUUGGAGGGAUCUUUAGAAAACCUCUGUGUUGCGAUUUCUCUUCGUGGAAAUUGUUUUGCGCGUGAGUACCUUCGUCGAGAUUGGUUUUCUCGUGCUGGGUCGCAAGGUUCAAACCUUCUACUUCGUGUACAUUGCGUGCGCGGGUGAGAGGUUGCUACUGCUGGUGGUGGAGUGUCGUGAAAGAUCGGGCCCCAACAACGGAUCGGAUCUCACUACGAGGUUCGGUCCACAUCACCACACCACACACACGAAACAAACAUGGACAAAACCCUCAAACGAGGGUGGUGGCCGAGGCCACCAUGUUUGAGUUUACAUGGUAUGGCACCGCGAAGAUAUGAACCUUGGGUCCAAGACCAAUACUCAUCUUUGAAGCACAAGUACCACCUAAAGUGGCUUAUGUGAAAGAUUGUGUUUGUUUUAUGCACUUCUAGGAUAAGAUAGCUCAUGAGUUGAGCUAGCUCCCCCUAGACAUGUGCCUACAUCUAAGCAAGAUAGUACAUGAGUAUGUGUGUGCGAGCAAGAGUUUCAACCGAAGUUACUAAUAUCCACGAUAUUUAGCUCAUGCCUUAACUCGCGGAAUCUUGCUUCGUCAAGGGGCUUGGUGAAGAUGUCUGCUAGUUGAUUCUCGGUCUUGACAUGGAGUAACUCAAUGUUUCCCUUGGCCACAUGAUCUCUAAUGAAAUGAUGACAAAUCUCAAUAUGCUUGGUCUUGCUAUGUUGAACCGGAUUCUUGGCAAUCUUGAUGGCACUUUCAUUGUCACACCAAAGAGGCACUUUGUCACAUUUGAGACCGUAAUCCAUCAAAGUUUGCCUCAUCCAUAGUAAUUGGGCACAACAACUUCCGGUAGCAAUAUACUCGACUUCGGCUGUGGAGAGAGAUAUACAAUUUUGCUUCUUUGAAGACCAACUUACCAACGAUCCCCCUAGGAAUUGACAUGAGCCGGAUGUGGACUUGCGAUCAACCUUGUCUCCGGCCCAAUCCGAAUCCGAGUAACCCAUUAACUCAAAUGAUGAUCCCUUGGGAUACCAAAGGCCCAAGUUUAGGGUAUGAACCAAAUAUCGAAGGAUCCUUUUCACUGCCGAAUAGUGGCUCUCCUUAGGAGCGGAUUGAAAUCUUGCACACAUACACACACUCAACAUAAUAUCUGGCCUAGAUGCACAAAGGUAAAGCAAGGAACCGAUCAUAGAGCGAUAUACCUUUUGAUCCACUUCUUUACCAUUUGAAUCAAGAUGAAGUUGACCAUUUGCGGCCAUGGGUGUCUUCAUUGUCUUGACUAAUUGCAUUUUGAAUCUCUUGAGCAUGUCUUGGAUAUAACGAGAUUGAUUGAUGAAGGUUCCGCCUCUCAAUUGCUUCACUUGAAACCCGAGAAAGAACUUCAACUCUCCCAUCAUGCUCAUCGCAAAUUCCUUAGUCAUAAGAUUCUCAAACUCAACAUUAAUAGCAUGGUUAGUUGACCCAAAGAUAAUAUCAUCAACAUAUAUUUGGCAGACAAACAACUCUCCUUUUACCCUCUUCGUAAAGAGAGUGGAAUCUAUUACCCCAAUCUGGAACCCCUUCUCGCUUAGGAACGCCGUAAGGUGAUCAUACCAAGCACGAGGUGCUUGUUUGAGUCCAUAGAGUGCCUUAUGGAGUUCAUAAACGUGAGAGGGAUGAUCGGGGUCUUCAAAACCGGGAGGUUGCUUGACAUACACCAACUCCUUAAGAGGACCAUUAAGAAAUGCACUCUUAGCAUCCAUUCGAUAUAAUUUGAAAUCAUGAUGAGAGGCAUAAGCAAGCAAGAUGCGAAUGGAUUCGAGACGGGCAACGGGGGAAAAAGUUUCACCAAAGUCCAAACCUUCAACUUGGGUGAAACCUUGUGCCACUAACCUUGCCUUGUUUCUUAUUACUUGUCCAUAUUCAUCUUGUUUGUUCUUGAAAAUCCACUUUGUUCCAAUGACAUUAUAAAAUUCCUUGGGUCUUUCUACAAGGGUCCACACUUUGUUGCGUGUGAAGUUGUUGAGUUCUUCAUGCAUGGCAUCUAUCCAAUCCGGAUCGUCAAGGGCAUCUUCCACCUUAAGGGGUUCAACACAAGAGACAAACGAGUGAUGUUCACAAAAGUUUGCCAAACGUCUACGAGUAGUUACCCCCUUUUUGAUGCUUCCGUAGAUGUUCUCGGUGAGGUGUUGAAGAUGUUUUAGCUUGGCAGCCACUUUUUGCUCUUUGCGGUCAAGUUCUUCUUCACUUGGUUUUGGACUUGAUGAAGAAGCUUGCCCUUGAGAUUUCUUUAGCCUUGGAGACACUCUUCUCUUUGCAACCACAGGUUCUUGCUCAGUAGGAAGUGAUGACGAUGAAGACACUUGUGGUUGGGGUUGAUAUAGAUCUUGAUCAUGACUUUGAGCUUGAUCUUGAGCCUCAACGAUUGGUUCUUCAUUAUUCGGAAGAGUUUGCUCUUGAUCUUGCUCAGGAAUAUGAGGGUCUUGAUCUUGUUCUUGGAUAGGUUCAUUACUUCCCAAGGCAUCUUGUACAAGAGGUGUCGGUGAUGACUUCCCUUGUGGAAAAUCCUCAAGAGGGGCUCUUACUCCUUCUUCUUCUACUUGGACAUGGGGUGUUUCUUGUGGGAGAAUGUGGCCUAUCCCCAUUGUCCUUAUAGCUUGUGAAGGAGCCUCAUCACCUACAACACCAGGAACAAUUUGCUCCAUGCGAGAGCCAUUAUCUUCAUCAAACUCCACAUUUACCGUUUCCUCAAUGCAUCCAGUGGAUUUAUUGAGAACUCGGUAAGCAUGAGAGUUUGAUGCAUAUCCAACAAUAUGCCCUCAUAAGUUCUAGACUCAAAUUUAGCUAACCGGGAUUUUUUGUUUAAAAUGAAACACUUACAACCGAAUACUCGAAAGUAUUUGAUGUUGGGCUUUAUCCCAAUUAGGAGCUCAUAAGGGGUCUUGUUCUUGAGCUUGCGAAGAUAAAGCCGGUUUGAAGCAUGGCACGCGGUGUUGAUGGCUUCUACCCAAAGCUUGUAUGGUGAUUUGUACUCAUCAAGCUGUUGGGGAACGUAGUAAUUUCGGAAAUUUUCCUACGCACACGCAAGAUCAUGGUGAUGCAUAGCAACGAGGGGGAGAGUAUUGUCUACGUACCAACGCAGACCGACUGCGGAAGCGAUCUCACAACGUAGAGGAAGUAGUCGUACGUCUUCUUCCCGAUCCGACCGAUCCAAGCACCGUUACUCCGGCACCUCCGAGUUCUUAGCACACGUUCAGCUCGAUGACGAUCCUCGGGCUCCGAUCCAGCAAAGCGUCGAGGAAGAGUUCCGUCAGCACAAUGGCGUGGUGACGAUCUUGAUGUACUACCGACGCAGGGCUUCGCCUAAGCACUACAACGGUAUGAUCGAGGUGGAAUUUGGUGGCAGGGGGCACCGCACACGGCUAAGGAACGAUCUCAAGGAUCAACUUGUGUGUCUUGGGGUGCCCCUGCCCCCCGUAUAUAAAGGUUGGAGGAGGGGAGCCGGCCGGCCAAGGGAGAGGAGGCGCAGGGGAGUCCUACUCCCACCGGGAGUAGGACUCCUCCCCCCAAUCCUAAUCCUAUUAGGACUCCCGGGGGGAAAAGGAGAGAGAAGGGGGGCCGGCCCCUAUCCUAGUCCUACUAGGACUUUGGGAAGGGGGGCGCCGGCCAGCUUGUGGGCUUUCCCUUUUUCUCCUUUUCCACUAAGGCCCAAUAGGCCCAUUAGUCUCCCGGGGGGUUCCGGUAACCCUCCCGGUAUUCCGGUAAAAUCCCGAUUUCACCCGGAACACUUCCGAUGUCCAAACAUAGGCUUACAAUAUAUCAAUCUUUACGUCUCGACCAUUUCGAGACUCCUCGUCAUGUCCGUGAUCUCAUCCGGGACUCCGAACAACCUUCGGUACAUCAAAAUGCAUAAACUCAUAAUAACUGUCAUCGUAACGUUAAGCGUGCGGACCCUACGGUUCGAGAACAAUGUAGACAUGACCGAGACACGUCUCUGGUCAAUAACCAAUAGCGGGACCUGGAUGCCCAUAUUGGCUCCUACAUAUUCUACGAAGAUCUUUAUCAGCCAGACCGCAUAACAACAUACGUUGUUCCCUUUGUCAUCGGUUUGUUACUUGCCCGAGAUUCGAUCGUCGGUAUCCAAUACCUAGUUCAAUCUCGUUACCGGCAAGUCUCUUUACUCGUUCCGUAAUACAUCAUCUCACAACUAACACAUUAGUUGCAGUGCUUGCAAGGCUUAUGUGAUGUGCAUUACCGAGAGGGCCCAGAGAUACCUCUCCGACAAUCGGAGUGACAAACCCUAAUCUCGAAAUACGCCAACCCAACAUCUACCAUUGGAGACACCUGUAGUACUCCUUUAUAAUCACCCAGUUACGUUGUGACGUUUGGUAGUACCCAAAGUGUUCCUCCGGUAAACGGGAGUUGCAUAAUCUCAUAGUUAUAGGAACAUGCAUAAGUCAUGAAGAAAGCAAUAGCAACAUACUAAACGAUCGGGUGCUAAGCUAAUGGAAUGGGUCAUGUCAAUCAGAUCAUUCUACUAAUGAUGUGACCUCGUUAAUCAAAUAACAACUCCUUGUUCAUGGUUAGGAAACAUAACCAUCUUUGAUUAACGAGCUAGUCAAGUAGAGGCAUACUAGUGACACUCUGUUGGUCUAUGUAUUCACACAUGUAUUAUGUUUCCGGUUAAUACAAUUCUAGCAUGAAUAAUAAACAUUUAUCAUGAUAUAAGGAAAUAAAUAAUAACUUUAUUAUUGCCUCUAGGGCAUAUUUCCUUCAGUCUCCCACUUGCACUAGAGUCAAUAAUCUAGUUCACAUCGCCAUGUGAUUUAGCAGCAAUGGUUCACAUCACCAUGUGAUUAACACCCAUAGUUCACAUCGUCAUGUGACCAACACUCAAAGGGAUUACUAGAGUCAGCAAUCUAGUUCACAUAUCUAUGUGAUUAACACCCAAAGAGUACUAAGGUGUGAUCAUGUUUUGCUUGUGAGAUAAUUUUAGUCAACGGGUCUGUCACAUUCAGAUCCGUAAGUAUUUUGCAAGUUCUAUGUCUACAAUGCUCUACACGGAGCUACUCUAGCUAAUUGCUCCCACUUUCAAUAUGUAUCCAGAUUUAGAAUCAUCUGGAUCAGUGUCAAAAAACUUGCAUCGACGUAACCCUUUACGACGAACCUUUUUGUCACGUCCAUAAUCGAGAAACAUUUCCUUAUUUCACUAAGGAUAAUUCUGACCGCUGUCCAGUGAUCUACUCCUAGAUCACUAUUGUACUCCCUUGCCAAAUCAGUGCAGGGUAUACAAUAGAUCCGGUACACAGCAUGGCAUACUUUAUAGAACCUAUGAAUGAGGCAUAGGGAAUGACUUUCAUUCUCUUUCUAUCUUCUGCCGUGGUCGGGCUUUGAGUCUUUACUCAACUUCACACCUUGUAACACAGGCAAGAAACUUUUUCUUUGACUGUUCCAUUUUGAACUACUUCAAAAUCUUGUCAAGGUAUGUACUUAUUGAAAAACUUAUCAAGUGUCUUGAUCUAUCUCUAUAGAUCUUGAAGCUCAAUAUGUAAGCAGCUUUACCGAAGUCUUUCUUUGAAAAACUCCUUUCAAACACUCCUUUUAUGCUUUACAGAAUAAUUCUACAUUAUUUCCGAUCAACAAUAUGUCAUUCACAUAUACUUAUCAGAAAUGCUGUAGUGCUCCCACUCACUUUCUCGUAAAUACAGGCUUCACCGCAAGUCUGUAUAAAACUAUAUGCUUUGAUCAACUCAUCAAAGCGUAUAUUCCAACUCCGAGAUGCUUGCACCAGUCCACAGAUGGAUCGCUGGUGCUUGCACAUUUUGUUAGCACCUUUUGGAUUGACAAAACCUUCUGGUUGCAUCAUAUACAACUUUUCUUUAAUAAAUCCAUUAGGGAAUGCAGUUUUGUUUAUCCGUUUGCCAGAUUUCAUAAAACGCGACAAUUACUAACAUGAUUCGGACAGACUUAAGCAUAGAUACGAGUGAGAAAAUCUCAUCGUAGUCAACACCUUGAACUUGUCGAAAACCUUUUGCGACAAUUCUAGCUUUGUAGAUAGUAACACUACUAUCAGCGUCCGUCUUCCUCUUGAAGAUCCAUUCAUUUUCUAUGGCUUGCCGAUCAUCGGGCAAGUCAACUAAAGUCCAUACUUUGUUCUCAUACAUGGAUCAUAUCUCAGAUUUCAUGGCUUCAAGCCACUUUGCGGAAUCUGGGCUCACCAUCGCUUCUUCAUAGUUCGUAGGAUCAUCAUGAUCUAGUAGCAUGACUUCCAGAACAGGAUUACCGUACCACUCUGGCGCGGAUCUUACUCUGGUUGAUCUACGAGGUUCAGUAGUGUCUUGUUCUGAAGUUUCAUGAUCAUCAUCAUUAGCUUCCUCACUAACUGGUGUAGGUGUCACAGAAACAUUUUUCUGUGAUGUACUACUUUCCAAUAAGGGAGCAGGUACAGUUACCUCGUUAAGUUCUACUUUCCUCCCACUCACUUCUUUCGAGAGAAACUCCUUCUCCAGAAAGUUUCCGAAUUUUAGCAACAAAAGUCUUGCCUUCGGAUCUGUGAUAGAAGGUUUAUCCAAUAGUUUCCUUUGGAUAUCCUAUGAAGACGCACUUCUCCGAUUUGAGUUUGAGCUUAUCAGGAUGAAACUUUUUCAUAUAAGCAUCGCAACCCCAAAUUUUUAAGAAACGACAGCUUAGGUUUCUUGCCAAACCAUAGUUCACACGGUGUCGUCUCAACGGAUUUAGAUGGUGCCCUAUUUAACGUGAAUGCAGCUGUCUCUAAUGCAUAACCCCAAAACGAUAGUGGUAGAUCGGUAAGAUACAUCAUAGAUUGCACUAUAUCCAAUAAAGUACGGUUAUGACGUUCGGACACGCCAUUAUGCUGUGGUGUUCCAUGUGGCAUGAUUUUGUGAAACUAUUCCACAUUGUUUUAAUUGAAGACCAAACUCGUAACUCAAAUAUUUUACCUCUGCGAUCAUAUCGUAGAAACUUUUAUUUUCUUGUCACGAUGAUUUUCCACUUCACUCUAAAAUUCUUUGAACUUUUCAAAUGUUUCAGACUUAUGUUUCAUCAAGUAGAUAUACUCAUAUCUGCUCAAAUCAUCUGUGAAGAUCAGAAAAUAAUGAUACCUGUCGCGAGCCUCAAUAUUCAUCGGACCACAUACAUCAGUAUGUAUGAUUUCCAAUAAACCUUUUUCGCUCCAUUGUUCCGGAGAACGGCGUUUUAGUCAUCUUGCCCAAAAGGCAUGGUUCGCAAGCAUCAAGUGAUUCAUAAUCAAGUGAUUCCGAAAGCCCAUCAGCAUGGAGUUUCUUCAUGCGCUUUAUACCAAUAUGACCUAAACAGCAGUGCCACAAAUAAGUUGCACUAUCAUUAUUAACUUUGCAUCUUUUGGUUUCAAUAUUAUGAAUAUGUGUAUUAUUAAGAUCGAGAUCCAAUGAACUAUUUUCAUUGGGUGUGUAACCAUAUAAGGUUUUAUUCAUGUAAAGAGAACAACAAUUUAUUCUUUUACUUAAAUGAAUAACCGUAUUACAAUAAACAUGAUCAAAUCAUAUUCAUGCUCAACGCAAAAACCAAAUAACACUUAUUUAAGUUCAACAUUAAUCCCGAAAGUAUAGGGGAGUGUGCGAUGAUGAUCAUAUCAAUCUUGGAACUACUUCCAACACACAUCGUCACUUCACCCUUAACUAGUCUCUGUUUAUUCUGCAACUCCCGUUUCGAGUUACUAAUCUUAGCAACUGAACUAGCAUCGAAUACUGAGGGGUUGCUAUAAACACUAGUAUAGUACACAUCAAUAACAUGUAUAUCAAAUAUACUGUUGUUCACUUUGCCAUCCUACUUAUCCGCCAAUCACUUGGGGUAGUUCCGCUUCCAGUGACCAGUCCCUUUGCAGUAGAAUCACUUAGUCUCAGGCUUAGGAUCAGAUUUGAGCUUCUUCACUUGAGCAGCAACUUGCUUGCCGUUCUUCUUGAAGUUCCCCUUCUUCCCUUUGCCAUUUUCUUGAAACUAGUGGUCUUGUCAACCAUCAACACUUGAUGUUUUUCUUGAUUUCUACCUUCGUUGAUUUCAGCAUCACGAAGAGCUUGGGAGUUGUUUCCGUUAUCCCUUGCAUAUUAUAGUUCAUCACGAAGUUCUACUAACUUAGUGAUGAUGACUAGAGAAUUCUGUCAAUCACUAUUUUAUCUGGAAGAUAAACUCCCACUUGAUUCAAGCGAUUGUAGUACCCAGACAAUCUGAGCACAUGCUCACUAGUUGAGCGAUUCUCCUCCAUCUUUUAGCUAUAGAACUUGCUGGAGACUUCAUGUCUCUCAACUCGGGUAUUUGCUUGAAAUAUUAACUUCAACUCCUGGAACAUCUCAUAUGGUCCAUGACGUUCAAAACGUCUUUGAAGUCCCGAUUCUAAGCUGUUAAGCAUGGUGCACUAAACUAUCAAGUAGUCAUCAUAUUGAGCUAGCCAAACGUUCAUAACGUCUGCAUCUGCUCCUGCAAUAGGUCUGUCACCUAGCGGUGCAUCAAGGACAUAAUUCUUCUGUGCAGCAAUGAGGAUAAACCUCAGAUCACGGAUCCAAUCCGCAUCAUUGCUACUAACAUCUUUCAACACAAUUUUCUCUAGGAACAUAUCAAAAUAAACAUAGGGAAGCAACAACGCGAGCUAUUGAUCUACAACAUGAUUUGCAAGAUACUACCAGGACUAAGUUCAUGAUAAAUUUAAGUUCAAUUUAAUUAUAUUACUUAAGAACUCCCACUUAGAUAGACAUCCCUCUAAUCCUCUAAGUGAUCACGUGAUCCAAAUCAACUAAACCAUAACCGAUCAUCACGUGAGAUGGGGUAGUUUUCAAUGGUGAACAUCAAUAUGUUGAUCAUAUAUACUAUAUGAUUCACGCUCGACCUUUCGGUCUCCGUGUUCCGAGGCCAUAUCUGUAUAUGCUUGGCUCGUCAAGUAUAACCUGAGUAUUCUGCGUGUGCAACUUUUUUGCACCCGUUGUAUUUGGACGUAGAGCUUAUCACACCCGAUCAUCACGUGGUGUCUGGGCACGACGAACUUUGGCAACGGUGCAUACUCAGGGAGAACACUUCUUGAUAAUUUAGUGAGAGAUCAUCUUAUAAUGCUACCGUCAAUCAAAGCAAGAUAAGAUGCAUAAAAGGAUAAACAUCACAUGCAAUCAAUAUAAGUGAUAUGAUAUGGCCAUCAUCUUCUUGUGCUUGUGAUCUCCAUCUCCGAAGCACCAUCAUGAUCACCAUCGUCACCGGCGCGACACCUUGAUCUCCAUCGUAGCAUCGUUGUCGUCUCGCCAAUCUUAUGCUUCCACGACUAUCACUACCGCUUAGUAAUAAAGUAAAGCAUUACAUCGCGAUUGCAUUUCAUACAAUAAAGCGAGAACCAUAUGGCUCCUGCCAGUUGCUGAUAACUCGGUUACAAAACAUGAUCAUCUCAUACAAUAAAAUCAGCAUCAUGCUUUGACCAUAUCACAUCACAACAUGCCCUGCAAAAACAAGUUAGACGUCCUCUACUUUGUAGUUGCAAGUUUUACGUGGCUGCUACGGGCUUAAGUAAGAACUCAUCUCACCUACGCAUCAAAACCACAACGAUAGUUCGUCAAAUAGACUCCGUUUUAACCUUCUCAAGGACCGGGCGUAGUCACACUUGGUUCAACUAAAGUUGGAGAGACAGUCUUCCGCAAGCCAUCUGUGUGCAUAGCACGUCGAGGGAACCGGUCUCGCGUAAGAGUACGCGUAAGGUUGGUCCGGAUCGUCUUGUCCAACAAUACCGCCGAACCAAAGUAUGACAUGCUGGUAGGCAGUAUGACUUGUAUCGCCCACAACUCACUUGUGUUCUACUCGUGCAAAUAACAUCAAACCAUAAAAACCUAGGCUCGGAUGCCACUGUUGGGGAACGUAGUAAUUUCGAAAAUUUUCCUACGCACACGCAAGAUCAUGGUGAUGCAUAGCAACGAGGGGGAGAGUAUUGUCUACGUACCAACGCAGACCGACUGCGGAAGCGAUCUCACAACGUAGAGGAAGUAGUCGUACGUCUUCUUCCCGAUCCGACCGAUCCAAGCACCGUUACUCCGGCACCUCCGAGUUCUUAGCACACGUUCAGCUCGAUGACGAUCCUCGGGCUCCGAUCCAGCAAAGCGUCGAGGAAGAGUUCCGUCAGCACAACGGCGUGGUGACGAUCUUGAUGUACUACCGACGCAGGGCUUCGCCUAAGCACUACAACGGUAUGAUCGAGGUGGAAUUUGGUGGCAGGGGGCACCGCACACGGCUAAGGAACGAUCUCAAGGAUCAACUUGUGUGUCUUGGGGUGCCCCUGCCCCCGUAUAUAAAGGUUGGAGGAGGGGAGCCGGCCGGCCAAGGGAGAGGAGGCGCAGGGGAGUCCUACUCCCACCGGGAGUAGGACUCCUCCCCCCAAUCCUAAUCCUAUUAGGACUCCCGGGGGGAAAAGGAGAGAGAAGGGGGGCCGGCCCCUAUCCUAGUCCUACUAGGACUUUGGGAAGGGGGGCGCCGGCCAGCUUGUGGGCUUUCCCUUUUUCUCCUUUUCCACUAAGGCCCAAUAGGCCCAUUAGUCUCCCGGGGGGUUCCGGUAACCCUCCCGGUAUUCCGGUAAAAUCCCGAUUUCACCCGGAACACUUCCGAUGUCCAAACAUAGGCUUCCAAUAUAUCAAUCUUUACGUCUCGACCAUUUCGAGACUCCUCGUCAUGUCCGUGAUCUCAUCCGGGACUCCGAACAACCUUCGGUACAUCAAAAUGCAUAAACUCAUAAUAACUGUCAUCGUAACGUUAAGCGUGCGGACCCUACGGUUCGAGAACAAUGUAGACAUGACCGAGACACGUCUCCGGUCAAUAACCAAUAGCGGGACCUGGAUGCCCAUAUUGGCUCCUACAUAUUCUACGAAGAUCUUUAUCGGUCAGACCGCAUAACAACAUACGCUGUUCCCUUUGUCAUCGGUAUGUUACUUGCCCGAGAUUCGAUCGUCGGUAUCCAAUACCUAGUUCAAUCUCGUUACCGGCAAGUCUCUUUACUCGUUCCGUAAUACAUCAUCUCACAACUAACACAUUAGUUGCAGUGCUUGCAAGGCUUAUGUGAUGUGCAUUACCGAGAGGGCCCAGAGAUACCUCUCCGACAAUCGGAGUGACAAACCCUAAUCUCGAAAUACGCCAACCCAACAUCUACCAUUGGAGACACCUGUAGUACUCCUUUAUAAUCACCCAGUUACGUUGUGACGUUUGGUAGUACCCAAAGUGUUCCUCCGGUAAACGGGAGUUGCAUAAUCUCAUAGUUAUAGGAACAUGUAUAAGUCAUGAAGAAAGCAAUAGCAACAUACUAAACGAUCGGGUGCUAAGCUAAUGGAAUGGGUCAUGUCAAUCAGAUCAUUCUACUAAUGAUGUGACCUCAUUAAUCAAAUAACAACUCCUUGUUCAUGGUUAGGAAACAUAACCAUCUUUGAUUAACGAGCUAGUCAAGUAGAGGCAUACUAGUGACACUCUGUUGGUCUAUGUAUUCACACAUGUAUUAUGUUUCCGGUUAAUACAAUUCUAGCAUGAAUAAUAAACAUUUAUCAUGAUAUAAGGAAAUAAAUAAUAACUUUAUUAUUGCCUCUAGGGCAUAUUUCCUUCACAAGCAUGGUCCUAGCCAUCUCAAUAAGAGUCCGAUUCUUCCUCUCCGCAACACCAUUUUUUUGGGGAGUAUAUGGUGCGGCAUAUUGGUGCUUUAUCCCUUCUUCACUCAAGAAUUCAUCCAUUGUAUAGUUUUUGAACUCGGUGCCAUUGUCACUUCGGAUUGCCUUGAUCUCAUAGUUAUGUUGACGUUGAGCUUCUUUGGCAAAGUUGAUGAAGGUUUCUUGAGUUUCAUCUUUAGUCUUGAGAAAGAACACCCAAGUAUAUCUUGUGAAGUCAUCAACAAUGACAAGGCAAUAUCUCCUUCCUCCCAAACUAUCAUAUGUUGGAGGCCCAAAUAGAUCCAAAUGGAUAAGCUCGAGAGGCCUCAAGGUGGUGAUGAUAGUCUUCACUUUAUGAGCUUUUUCAUGAAGCUUUUCGGCAAUGCAAGCACUACAAGGACGAUCUUUGGCAAAAGACACAUUGGUUAGUCCAAGAAUGUGCUCCCCCUUUAAGAGAGCUUGUAAAUUUCUCAUGCCCAUGUGGGCUAGCCUACGGUGCCAUAGCCACCCCACGCCGGCCUUGGCCAUUAGGCAUGUUGCAAGAUGAGUUUUCUCUUUCGAGAAAUCAACCACGUAAAGGUUGUCUUCAACAUGCCCAACAAAGACCACUUUGAGAUUGCUCCUCUUAAAGACGGUCACAUGGAAUUCACCAAAAUGUGAAUCAUAUCCGGCACGAGCCAAUUGAAUAGUUGAAAGUAAAUUGUAGUGAAGGGAUUGGACAAGCAUGACAUUUGCAAGAGAUGAAUCAUUAGAGAUUACCACCUUGCCCAAACCCAAUACAUUUCCCUUGCUAUUAUCACCGAAGGAGAUGUUCGAAGAGGCCUUGAGUGAAUCAACGAACUCCACAAGCAUCUCCCUUUAUCCGGUCAUAUGAUUGGUGCAUCCACUGUCGAUCACCCAUUGAGUUCCACCGGAGAUAUAGUCCUACAAUAAUCAAGCUUUGGUUAUAGGUACCCAUUUUGCAAUGGGUCCUGGUGAGUUAGCAACAAGGGUCUUGGGAACCCAAAUAGUCCAAGCAUAAUCAUCAUAGUUAGUUCCAACAAAUUUUGCAAAGGUAUAGCCAUCAUCUCCUCUCAUGAGAACAUAUGAUGGAUUGUUCUUGCCGGCAAAAUUCUUGGGAAUAGCCUUGUCCCUAAUGACCUUACCAUUCCCAACACCCUUCAUUUCCUUCUCCUUCUCCUUGUGCCCUUCUUGCACAAACACUACCUUUUUGGGAGGGGAAGGAGUCGGACCGAUUAAACCCAACUCCCUCCUUGGCAACACAUUCCUUUUGGUUGCUCAAGAGAUCGUUUAGGUUUUUCUCCCCUUGGAUGCAUGAUACAAGCCCUUUCUCAAUUUGAGCUUUCAACUUCUUAUUUUCCUCUUGAAGGGAGGUGCAAUCAUGAGUAAAGUUAGCCGUAGAAGCAUCAUCAUUUUAAUCAAUAUGAGGUACGGAAGUGAGAGCCUUAAUGGUUGUAGAUUUUAAUUGAGCAUAAGACUCGUUGAGAGCAAUGAGGUCACCUUUGACAACCUUGGAACUAAUCACAAGGAACUCAUGCUCCUCAACAAGUCUUGUAUGGUCAAUUAGAAGUUUUUCAACUCUAACGUUAAGAGCAUCUUUAUUCUCAAGAGCAAGUUACAAAGCAUCAUUGGUUUUAACAAAGUCAAUUUGAUGAGCAGAUAAGGCUUCCUCAAGUGAUGCUCUCAUGACACUCUCUUCAUUAAGUUCAUGCUCGAGGAGAUCAACUCUCUCUUUUUCCUCUAUAAGGAGGUUCUCAACGUUCUCAAUAAAGUCAUCGCGUUCGGCGAGUGACUUAAGGAGAUCACUAAAACGAGCACGAGCUUCACCAUGAAGAGUUUUCAUGAAAGCCAUUAAGGAUUCCUCAUCAUUAUCCACACCCUCCUCACACUCAUCCUCCACUAUCUCACAUGAGACAUUGGGAGUGUAGUUGUCGGGUCUCUUGGGUUUGGACUUUGUUUUUACCUCUUUGUCCAUGAGGCAUCGAUGAGUGAAUGGCUUGUCCUCGUUUGGAGAGUCAAAGAGCCCGGUGGUGGAGGAGGAGGUAGUGGCAUGCAUGGCGAAGGCGGCCGUGCCCACUUGAUCAUCAUCACCGUCAUCUUCAUCUCCAGACAUGUAUUCUUCAUGAACAAGAGCCUUGUCAUCCUUCCUCUUUGCAAACUUGGUGAACUUAUUCUUCUUAAGCACAAGCUUCUCGUACUUGUCUUCACGUCUCUCAUAUGGACAAUCAUGAACAAAGUGUCUUGGGCUAUCACAAUUGUAGCAUUUCCUUCGUCCAAAAGAUCUUCCUUGAAGAUUUCUUCCUUUGUUUGCCAUGGUCCCGGAGUACUUCUUGACUAAGAGAGUCAAGUCUUCUGCAAAAUCAUUUGCCGGGCACGAGGUAUCAUUAUCCUCCUCACAUAUCUCUUCACUCACUUCUUCCUCCCUUGAGGGUUGUCUCAUCAUUUUCUUGGCCUUCAAGGCAAGAUUGGAGUUCUUGGUUGCUUGAGAUAUUGCAAAUUUUUUCUUGGACUUGGUUUCCAAAAGAACAUGGGUAGAGAAGGUGGAAACAACUUGAGCCGAAGUCAACUUGUGAUAGUCUGGACGUUGAUGAACCAUCAUGACCAUGGUAUGUUCUGUGAGAACCAUAGCAUCCAUGAACUUGUCCUUGAUGAAUUCAUCAUUUGCCCAAGUGCACCCAAAGGUUCUCAAGUUGAGCACAAGGGACUUCAACCUUCGGUAAACCUCUUCUGCGGACUCACCCUCAUUCCUCACAAAGAGAUUGACUUCUUGUUUGAGCAAGGCCAACCGAGAUCUUCAAAUUGCUUCAUCUCCUUCAAGAGCCUCCUCAAGGCAAUCCCAAAUUUCCUUUGCGGUUUUGAGAAGAGCAAUGGAAUCACUAUAGUCUUCAGUCACUGCGUUGCGAAGCAUGUUGUGUGCGGUAGCAUUGAGUUGAUCGUCAACUGCUUCCCUUGGAGUGAGAUUCAUUGGGUCCUUGGGGUUGAAUCCAUUAACCACAAUCCACCACAAUUGAGUUGAAGCACUGCACAUGCGAGACUCCAUAUCUAGCUUCCACUUAGCAAACGCAUUAGCUUUCAAAGGGGGCGGAGGCCCAACAGGAUUAAUGCGGGGAUGUUGUGUAACGCCCUCGAUGCGGCUAUGUCUCCCACGUGUCGAGGCACGACUUAGAGACAUAGGCGCAUGGAAAGCAAUGUCGCAAGUCGGGAAUCAUUACACAACCCAAGUACAUAUAUAAUAUAAAGGGGAAAUAAUAAUAUAGUUGGCUUACACUCGCCACGUCACAUCAAAGUACAUAAAUAACAUCCAUCAUACAAUCACUCAUGGCCCGACUACGGCGCCAAAAUAGAAAAGACCCCCAACAAGCGACUAGGCCCUGAAUCUAACCCCGAAUAGGCACCACUACUGAUCAUCAGGAAACGACACAUAGUAACGCUGAGAGUCCUCGUCGUACUCCCACUUCAGCUCGAGCGCGCCAUCCGGAGAAGUAUCAUCGGUCCCUGCAUCUGGUGUAAUAGUAAUCUGUGAGCCACAAAGGACUCAGCAAUCUCGCACCCUCGCGAUCAAGACUAUUUAAGCUUAAUAGGUAGGAAAGGGGUAAUGUAAGUGGAGCUGCAGCAAGCGACUAGCAUAUAUGGUGGCUAACUUAUUCGCAAAGUAGAGCGAGAAGAGGAGGCAAAGUAUGAGCGGAAAACUAUAUAGAGCAGCCUACGCAAACAUAACUCCAACGCCGUGUCCACUUCCCGGACUCCGCCGAGAAGAGGCCAUCACGGCAACACACUUAGUUGAUUCAUUUUAAUUAUUUAGGGUUCAAGUUAUCUACAAACGGACAUUAUCAAAUUCCCAUCUGCCCAUAACCGCGGGCACGGCUUUCGAAAGAUCAAUCCCUGCAGGGGGGUCCCAACUUAGCCCAUAACAAGCUCUCACGGUCAACGAAGGAAUAGACCUCCACCCAGGACCCACCGAUCAGACUCGGUAUCCCGGUACAACAAGAUGAUUCGACAGGUCAAAACUAGUCCAGCAACACCGCCCGAAUGUGCCGACAAAUCCCGAUAGGAGCUGCACAUAUCUCUUUCUCAAGGCACGCUCGGAUAGGUCAAGCUACGAGUAAAACCAACCCUCGAGUUUCCCCGAGGUGGCCCCGCAGGCUGCCUGGUUCGGACCAACACUCAGAGGAGCACUGGCCCGUGGGGGACUAAAAUAAAGAUGACCCUCGGGCUCCGGAAACCCAAGGGAAAAAAGAGGCUAGGUGGCAAAUGGUAAAACCAAUGUUGGGCAUUGCUGGAAAAGCUUUAAUCAAGCCGAACUAUCAAGGGGUUCCCAUUAUAGCCCAACCGCGUAAGGGACGCAACAAUCCGGGAACAUAACACCGAUAUGACGGAAACUAGGGCGGCAAGAGUGGAACAAAACACUAGGUGAGAGGCCGAGCCUUCCACCCUUUACCAAGUAUAUAGAUGAAUAAAGAUAACAUAGCAAUAUAAUGAUAUCCCAACAAUUAAAUAAAUGUUCCAACAAGGAACGGCUCCAAUCUUCACCUGCAACUAGCAACGCUAUAAGAAGGGGCUUGAGCAAAGCGGUGACAUAGCCAAUCAAUGGUUUGCUAGGACAAAGGUGUGUUAGAGGCUCAAUCAUGGAAAUUGGGAGGCUGACAAGCAAGUGGUAGGCAUCGUAGCAUUGGCAAAGCAAAAGAGCGAGCAAACUAGCAUAACAAAGAUAGUAGUGAUUUCAAGGGUGUGAUCAUCUUGCCUGCACAGUUGUCAGAAUUGACUGGAUCCUCAAAAGCAAACUCAACGGGCUCCUCGUUAGCGAACUCGUCUCCCGGCUCUACUUAACAACACAAACAAGCAACAAGGAUACAAUCAACCACGUGCAAGGGCAACCAAUAAUAUGCAAAGAUGAUAUGCUAUGUGGGAUGCGAUGCGGGAUGCAAAAAUGCAAGAUGUAACAGGAAAUGCAUGAACCUGGCCUCAACUUGGAAAACCAAGUGUGCCACUGGAUAGAGGGGAAGAAAUCCCCUGAAAACGAUAUAAAGAUCAUGGCAAUCGGAGCUACGGUUUAGAAAUGGCAAGCGUUUUACUAAACGAACUGAUCUGCGAUUUACGGCAAGUAGGCUCCUAAAUGCAACAAAAUGAACAUGCUACAGCCACCCAACAUGAAAACAAAUUGCAUGGCAGUGAUGUACUUAAGAAGCUUAACAAAUCACCAGGACUGAGGCAUAGGCAAAUUCAUCCAUUAAGGGCUUCAAACAAGCAUGGCAAAACUGAAUAAGCAAAACAGAUUUCAGACUUAGCGAAAUUAACGCUAGUCUGAAAUUUCAGACCACGAUGCUCUCUUCGGAGCAGCAAAACAACAUGAAGCAAAACCUGAACAUGGCAAGUAAGAGCAUGGCAUGGAGCUACUCAACAAGCUUAACAAAACACCCAAAAUGACCUGGGGCCAAAAGGGUUCACAAAAUACUCUACCGAGCACACGAACAUCGAUGAAACACAAACAGUUUUCAGACUUAGUGAAAACUGGGACAUGCUGAAAUAAUAACUCACAAAGGCAUGUAAACGAGCUCGAUGCACUCACUACGGUGCAAGUCAUGGCAAGGCAAGCAUAUAUCCAUUAAGAAGGCACAAAAUGCUAGCUAGACAUGGCAAGAACAAAGGCAUAGCAUGCAUGGAUCACUAGCAAUAACUCCGGCAAAAUCGCAAAAGAGUUCACGAUCUGCCCAAAACAACAACUAUGCAAAAGUUGAGCUCGAUUGAGUCAACCUAGGUUGCUCCAACAUAACAAGUAAAGACAUGGAUGGAUUAAGCACAACAAGCAUAACAAAUCACUCUUACUGAUCAUCCUCAAAAGAGGCACGGAUCACUAGGAAACAAGCUGGACAUAUAGCAUCGUGAACUAAAACAUCCCAGACUUAGUGAUUAUCACUAAGUCCCUGAAAUCAGUAAACUCAGGUACCCCUCUUCGCAAGCUUGCACAAGACAACACACACAUCCUAAAAAUGCAAGGGAGGCACCUCUGGAAAGAAGACAACAUGCUUAACAGUUCAUCCCAAAGGGGCACAAGCAUAUCAUGCACCGAUUAAACAUGGAAAAAAUGACAAAAGUGCAUGUUGAACUAACGGAUCUGCAAUUUAACUCAUGAUGCCUCCUUCCAACAGCAUUUUGGGCAACAAGGUGACCUCAAAUGCAAAUGAUGCAAUGGAAUGAAAUGAUGUACUCGUCGAGACGAAGAUUUUGAUAUAUCAUAUGCCCAAAUCGGAGCUACGGAUGCAAAGAUAUGGCAGGUCAAAGGUAGCAUAAAAAAUUACGGAAUUAGGGUUUCGGGGGAGAGGUCAACCGAUCCAGAUCUGGAAUCACUGUAGCAGACCGACACUGUUCAUCCGGCGCGCGCGACGAGGAUGGCCGGGAGGAGCUCGCCGGGGCUUGGAUCCGAGGCGGCCGGAGCGGUCUUGGCGGCGCACGCCGGCGCGGGAGGCGGCGGCGGGACGGCGGNNNNNNNNNNNNNNNNNNNNNNNNNNNNNNNNNNNNNNNNNNNNNNNNNNNNNNNNNNNNNNNNNNNNNNNNNNNNNNNNNNNNNNNNNNNNNNNNNNNNNNNNNNNNNNNNNNNNNNNNNNNNNNNNNNNNNNNNNNNNNNNNNNNNNNNNNNNNNNNNNNNNNNNNNNNNNNNNNNNNNNNNNNNNNNNNNNNNNNNNNNNNNNNNNNNNNNNNNNNNNNNNNNNNNNNNNNNNNNNNNNNNNNNNNNNNNNNNNNNNNNNNNNNNNNNNNNNNNNNNNNNNNNNNNNNNNNNNNNNNNNNNNNNNNNNNNNNNNNNNNNNNNNNNNNNNNNNNNNNNNNNNNNNNNNNNNNNNNNNNNNNNNNNNNNNNNNNNNNNNNNNNNNNNNNNNNNNNNNNNNNNNNNNNNNNNNNNNNNNNNNNNNNNNNNNNNNNNNNNNNNNNNNNNNNNNNNNNNNCGGGACGGCGGCGGCGGCGGCGGUGCCCACGUGGUAGGCGGCGGUUGGCCGAGGGGCGCGGCGGCGGACGCGUCCGGCUGGGGCGGACGUGUCCGUCGGUGCGGGGAGGUUUUUUUUAGGAGGAGGACGGGGAGGAAGACGAGAUCCGAAAUGGGGGUGUUUAAAUAGGCAUAAGUGGAGCUAGGAGAGUCCAAAUGAGGUGCGGUUUUCGCCCACACGAUCGUGAUCGAACGACCGAGACGAUGGAGCAGAGUUUGGUGGGUUUUGGGCCAAAAUGGAGGGGUGUUGGGCUGCACACACACGAGGCCUUUUGGGUCCUCGGUUAACCGUUGGAGCAUCAAACGAAGUCCAAAUGACCCGAAACUUGACAGGCGGUCUACCGGUAGUAAACCAAGGCCGCAUGGCAAGUCUCGGUUCAAUCCGGAAAUGUUUAAUCCCCACACACGAAAGAAGCUAGAAAUGGCCACCGGAGGAGAACGAAGCGCCGGAAUGCAAAACGGACAACGGGGAAAAUGCUCGAAUGCAUGAGAUGAACAUGUAUGCAAAUGCAAUGCACAUGAUGACAUGAUAUGAGAUGCACAAAAACAAAAACAACACACGGAGACAAAGACCCGAACCCGAGAAUUAAAUAUAACUUAAUGCCGGAAACGACAAGAGUUGGAGUACAAUUCGGGAAGGUUACAUAUGGGGCGUUACAACACUCCACCACUACGAAAAGAUCUCGUCCCGAGCUCUAGGACUGAAAGAACUCCGGGUACUCAGAACGGAGGUGAUCCUCGCGUUCCCAGGUAGCUUCACGGUCGGAAUGGUGUGACCACUUGACUUUGAGAAACUUGAUUGACUUGUUGCGAGUUUUGCGUUCGGUCUCUUCAAGGAUUGCAACUAGGUGCUCACGGUAGGAGAGAUCUUCUUGGAGCUCAAUGUCCUCGAAGUUGACGGUGCGCUCAGGCGUCUUGAAGCACUUACGGAGUUGCGAGACGUGGAACACAUCAUGAACAUUAGCAAAGGUUGCAGGAAGCUCGAGUUGAUAGGCGAGGUCGCCUCUCUUGCUGACAAUCUUGAAAGGCCCGACGUAUCUGGGGGCAAGCUUCCCUUUGAUACCGAAGCGACGAGUCCCUUUCAUAGGAGAGACGCGGAGGUAGACAUGAUCUCCGAUCUCGAAGGCCAAAUCACGCUGCUUGCUGUCAUAGUAGCUCUUCUGACGAGAUUGGGCUACUUUGAGGUUAUCACGAAUGACCUUGCACAUUUCUUCUGCCUCUGUGAUUAGGUCAUUACCCAGCAGCUGACGUUCACCGGUUUUAGACCAGUUGAGAGGUGUACGGCACUUCCUACCAUACAGAAUUUCAAAUGGGGCCUUGCCGGAGCUUGCUUGGAAACUGUUGUUGUACGAGAAUUCAGCAUAAGGAAGACAAUCCUCCCACUUCAUGCCGAAGGAGAUAACACAAGCCCUGAGCAUAUCUUCAAGAAUCUGGUUGACAUGCUCGACUUGACCGCUUGUUUGAGGGUGGAAAGCAGUGCUGAAGCGAAUGUUGGUGCCCAUGGCCUUCUGAAAAGAAUCCCAGAACUUGGAGGUAAAGAUGCUGCCACGGUCUGAAGAUAUCACUUGAGGAAUACCGUGCAGAGAGACAAUUCGAGAGGUAUAGAGCUCCGCCAAUUGAGCUGCAGUGAUUGACUCUUUGAUAGGCAGGAAAUGAGCCACUUUGGUGAGCUUGUCGAUGACAAUGAAUAUAGCAUCAUUGCCACGCUUGGACUUAGGAAACCCAGUCAUGAAGUCCAUUUCAAUGUGGUCAAACUUCCAUUCUGGAAUGGCGAGAGGUUGGAGGAGACCUGCUGGCCUUUGGUGUUCUGCUUUCACUCUUCUGCAGACAUCACAUUCAUUCACGAAUUGAGCGAUCUCGCGCUUUAUUCGAGUCCACCAAUAAGUUUGCUUCAGAUCUUGAUACAUCUUCGUGCUCCCAGGGUGGAUGGAGAGGAGAGAGUUGUGAGCCUCAUUUAUGAUCACUUUACGAAGUUCACCUUUGGGCACAACAAUUCGAUCCUCGAAGAAGAGAGUGUCCUUGUCAUCAAGUCGGUAGCACUUGUACUUGGACUGACUCUUUGCAAUACCAAUCUUCACCUUUUUCACCAUAGCAUCAAGAAGCUGGGCUUGGCGAAUCUGGUCUUCCAAGGUAGGAGAAACUUGAAGGUUGGCGAGGAAACCUUGAGGAACAACUUGCAGAUUAAGUUUGCGGAAGGCUUCACAAAGCUCGGGUUGAUAAGGCUUGAGAAUCAGACUGUUGCAAUAUGCUUUUUUGCUCAAAGCGUCAGCAAUCACAUUAGCCUUGCCUGGAGUAUACUCGAUACUCGGAUUGUACUCUUAAAUCAUUUCGACCCAUCGAGUCUGCCUGAGGUUGAGAUUAGGCUGAGUGAAGAUGUACUUGAGACUCUUGUGAUCAGUGAAGAUGUCCACUUUUCUUCCCAAGAGAAGAUGUCUCCAAGUCAACAAUGCGUGCACAACUGCCGCCAACUCGAGAUCAUGAGUGGGGUAGUUCUUCUCAUUAGGCUUCAACUGGCGAGAGGUAUAAGCAACAACUUUCUUCUCUUGCAUCAGUACUGCACCGAGACCUUGGAGAGAGGCAUCACAAAAGACCUCGUACGGCUUGGUUUCAUCAGGCGGAGUUAGAACUGGAGCAGUGAUCAAUUUCUCUUUCAAAGCGUUGAAAGCAACAUCACACUCCGGAGACCAAACGUACUUGACGUGCUUCUGAAGAAGAUUUGAGAGAGGCUUCGCGAUCUUGGAAAAGUUUUCAACGAAUCUUCGGCAGUAACUUGCAAGACCGAGGAAGCUACGGAGUUGCUUCACAUUCUGAGGAGGUUCCCAAUUAACGAUUGCAGACACCUUCUCAGGAUCCACGGAAAUGCCCUUGGCAGAGAUAAUAUGGCCAAGAUAAAGAACCUCAUCGAGCCAAAACUCACACUUGGAGAACUUGGCGUAGAAUUGAUGUUCCCUUAGCUUGUCAAGAACCAAACGCAAGUGUUUGGCAUGAUCUUCCUUGUUCUUCGAGAAAACCAGGAUGUCAUCGAGAUAGACCAAAACAAAGGCGUUGGUGUAGGGGUUGAAGAUGAAGUUCAUCAUGCGAGAGAACGUCGGAGGAGCAUUGGCGAGGCCAAAAGACAUAACAGUGUAUUCAUAUGACCCAUAGCUUGUUCUGAACGCCGUCUUUGGAAUAUCUUGCUCACGAAUGCGAAUUUGGUGAUAACCCAUACGGAGAUCAAGCUUGGAGAAUACUUGGGCACCCUUGAGUUGUUCAAACAGCUCAUUAAUGUUGGGAAGUGGGUAUUUGUUCUUGAUGGUCUUCUUGUUCAAUGGACGAUAAUCAACACAAAGUCGGUCCGUUCCAUCCUUCUUCUUCACAAAAAGAACACCACAACCCCACGGAGAAGUACUAGGCCGAAUGAGACCCAUUCUUUCUUGCACAUCGAGUUGUUUCUUCAACUCCUUCAACUCUUCGGGGCCGAGCUUGUAGGGACGUUUGCACACAGGUUCCGUACCGGGCUCAAGUUCAAUAACAAAUUCAACCGGCCGGUUUGGAGGCAUGCCUGGGAGUUCUUCAGGGAAGACAUCUUGAUACUCACAAACAACCGGAAUCUGUGAAAUAGCAUCCAAUUCACCCUUUUCAUUGAGAGAGAACAACCGGAUGGUAUUAUCCCGAGCAGCAAAGACAAUUACUUCCUCAGAUGAAUGAGUCAGUUGAAUCUGCUUGGCUGCACAAUUCAGCUGAGCUUUAUGUUUAGAGAGCCAGUCCAUCCCAAGAAUGAGAUCGAUAUCAGAAUUGCCAAGAACCAUUGGAGAAGCCAAGAACUUGAAAUCGCCCAACGUGAUGGAGACAUCUGGCACCUCCAGACUUGCACUCAAUCGUUUGCCAGGAGAAACAAUAUCCAUUUGUUUACCCAAAUGCGAAGAAACGAACUCAUGCUUGGUAAAAAAAUGGCUUUGACAUGCAACAAUGCGAUGCACCUGUGUCAAAAAGAACUCUUGCAGGAAUAGAAUUAACUGGAAAGUUACCCAUGAUCACAUCUGACGAAUCCUCUGCCUGAGCUGCAUUCACCAUAUUGACCUUGGCGUGCCUGGGAUUAUGCUUGACCACAGAUGUACUUGCCGAUCUGACAGGAGGAGGAGGAAGACGCCUCUGGUUGAAACACUUGUUGGCAUAGUGACCCUUCUGUUGGCACUUGUUGCAUGUGACCUCUGAGAGCGGACGGUGGUACGGAGCACUCGAUCUUGAAGCUUGAGACGAAGUCUUGUUCUGAAAGCCUGGGUUGGGUGGGUGGGAUGAACCACUGCCACCUUUGCUCUUCUGCCGAUACGGCUGACGGAACGGAGGAGGAGGAAGCCAAUACUUCUGCUGCUUGGCCACUUGAGUAGAGGAAGAAGGCGUAGUGUCUCUGACUCGCUUCCUGGAAGCAUCACACCUUAGCUGAGCAGCCUCUUACUUCAGUGCCAUGUUGUAGAACUCAUCGUAUCUCAGCGGCUCGAAGAGGACAAGAGCAAGCUGAAUUUCUUCACGAAGACCACCCCGGAACUGAUAGAUCAUGCUCUUCUCAUCAGGAACAUCCUGCUUGGCAAAACGGGCGAGCUUCUGGAACAACUUGUUGUAGUCAUAGACAGACAAAGAGCCUUGCUUCAGAUUGCGGAAUUCUUCACGUUUGCUUUUAGUCACACUUUGAGGAAUGUGAUGAGCUCGGAAAUCACGACGGAAAUCAUCCCAAGUGAUCAAACGUCCACCUCUGGAAUCCCGGUACUGCUGAAACCACUCUGCGGCCUGAUCCUUGAGCUGGAAAGACGCGAACUUGACGAAAUCUUCAGGUCUGACGUUGCUAUAUUCAAAAUGCUUACCCAGAUCGACUAACCAAUCAUCAGCAUCGGUAGCCUCAACGCAGUUGCUGAACGUCUUUGGACCAUUUGCGAGGAACUGAUUCAGAGUUGCAAAUUGGUUCUGGUUGUUGCCUUGAUUUCCUUGACUACUUUGAUUCCGCUCUUGGAUGAUUUGCAUGAUCAGCUGAGUAUUUGCAUUAGUAGCAGCCAUCACAGCUUGCCAUGCUUCCGGAGGAGGCGGAGGUGGCGGAGGAUCUUGAUUCUGGUUCUGACUGGUGCUCUUAGCGGGAGCCAUCCUGAAGAGGUUGACCACCAUUAGCACACAAAUAGAGAGAUAUUGAAGGUGAAACCAACGGAAUGAAAAUUGCAACAUAAAGUCUUCACAUCCGAACAAAAUGAACGAAUGCACUUCUCUUGAAGUGGUCACAUAUUCCUAAAUUGCGAAGCCACGAAGAAUCAGGUAGAAGAGGUACAUCAACGAGGGAUGGAAUCCACAUAUGACGUCGAAGCAGAACGAAUACCACAACUCGAAAUAAAACCAAGGGUUGGCUUGCGGAAUAAGCCGGAACAAACACAUGAUAGAAAUUUCGUCCGAAGUGUUCGUGGUAGGACCUACACGGGCUCGACCGUACAGCACCAUCAUGUACAAGGCAGUGCACAUGACAUACAAAGCGUCCCCGAGUCAGCAUAGCCAAGGACUCUUUAAGACACAACGAGGCCACUGUAAAAUCGACCGUGAAUAGGCGAACCACUAGACGUCGAACCCCAAUUUCAUAUCACACAUCUAUUGAAAGAAAUCCUAAGGCUACUUGAAUUCCCACCUAUGAAACUCCCGAAACUUUCCGAUUAUGCAAUCAGGUGUUGGGGAUAUAGGGGAAGCAUAAUAUCUCACCCAAGCUAGCAAAUCCUACAUCCAGCUGCAUCCAUCCUUCAACACAUAACCAAGAAACCUUCGGAAACCAUCUAUCUCAACCUUCGAAAAGCAUCCGUUAUACAAGUUAUGGCGAUACUCCCGAACUCCCGCCCCAGUACUGGGUGGCGUCGAGGUUAUCUCACCAACGAACUGCAUAAAGGAGAUUUUCGAUGUCGCGCACAUAUCUCAAGUAUACCAGAAUUGCAACGAUAGAAUUAUGAUGACAACACCUCAGAGCUCAACUCCCCGGGACACUUCCACUAAACCCCUGACAGGAGGCACCAAGACAGUAUUCUCAUCAUAAGCCAUCGGAACAAAACCAAGAUACUCGCGUGAUCCUAAAAUUUUUUUUAGUGAAAUUUGAGAAGAGAAGAGUCAAAACUCUACGUCAGGAUGCCUUACCAGAGCGAGGGGGAGACUGGGAAGUAAAAAGAAUUCCUAAGCUCUCCGAUAUAUAAUUCCUAAGGACUCAAAACAUUUUUCUAGACACAACUUGGCUGCUAAAAACGAUCAAGCAAUGGGGCUCCUAAGGUCGGGGAAGGCUCUGAUUACCAACUUGUAACGCCCUUGAUGCGGCUAUGUCUCCCACGUGUCGAGGCACGACUUAGAGACAUAGGCGCAUGGAAAGCAAUGUCGCAAGUCGGGAAUCAUUACACAACCCAAGUACAUAUAUAAUAUAAAGGGGAAAUAAUAAUAUAGUUGGCUUACACUCGCCACGUCACAUCAAAGUACAUAAAUAACAUCCAUCAUACAAUCACUCAUGGCCCGACUACGGCGCCAAAAUAGAAAAGACCCCCAACAAGCGACUAGGCCCUGAAUCUAACCCCGAAUAGGCACCACUACUGAUCAUCAGGAAACGACACAUAGUAACGCUGAGAGUCCUCGUCGUACUCCCACUUCAGCUCGAGCGCGCCAUCCGGAGAAGUAUCAUCAGUCCCUGCAUCUGGUGUAAUAGUAAUCUGUGAGCCACAAAGGACUCAGCAAUCUCACACCCUCGCGAUCAAGACUAUUUAAGCUUAAUAGGUAGGAAAGGGGUAAUGUAAGUGGAGCUGCAGCAAGCGACUAGCAUAUAUGGUGGCUAACUUAUUCGCAAAGUAGAGCGAGAAGAGGAGGCAAAGUACGAGCGGAAAACUAUAUAGAGCAGCCUACGCAAACAUAACUCCAACGCCGUGUCCACUUCCCGGACUCCGCCGAGAAGAGGCCAUCACGGCAACACACUCAGUUGAUUCAUUUUAAUUAUUUAGGGUUCAAGUUAUCUACAGCCGGACAUUAUCAAAUUCCCAUCUGCCCAUAACCGCGGGCACGGCUUUCGAAAGAUCAAUCCCUGCAGGGGGGUCCCAACUUAGCCCAUAACAAGCUCUCACGGUCAACGAAGGAAUAGACCUCCACCCAGGACCCACCGAUCAGACUCGGUAUCCCGGUAUAACAAGAUGAUUCGACAGGUCAAAACUAGUCCAGCAACACCGCCCGAAUGUGCCGACAAAUCCCGAUAGGAGCUGCACAUAUCUCUUUCUCAGGGCACGCUCGGAUAGGUCAAGCUACGAGUAAAACCAACCCUCGAGUUUCCCCGAGGUGGCCCCGCAGGCUGCCUGGUUCGGACCAACACUCAGAGGAGCACUGGCCCGUGGGGGGCUAAAAUAAAGAUGACCCUCGGGCUCCGGAAACCCAAGGGAAAAAAGAGGCUAGGUGGCAAAUGGUAAAACCAAUGUUGGGCAUUGCUGGAAAAGCUUUAAUCAAGCCGAACUAUCAAGGGGUUCCCAUUAUAGCCCAACCGCGUAAGGGACGCAACAAUCCGGGAACAUAACACCGAUAUGACGGAAACUAGGGCGGCAAGAGUGGAACAAAACAUUAGGCGAGAGGCAGAGCCUUCCACCCUUUACCAAGUAUAUAGAUGAAUAAAGAUAACAUAGCAAUAUAAUGAUAUCCCAACAAGUAAAUAAAUGUUCCAACAAGGAACGACUCCAAUCUUCACCUGCAACUAGCAACGCUAUAAGAAGGGGCUUGAGCAAAGCGGUGACAUAGCCAAUCAAUGGUUUGCUAGGACAAAGGUGGGUUAGAGGCUCAAUCAUGGCAAUUGGGAGGCUGACAAACAAGUGGUAGGCAUCGUAGCAUUGGCAAAGUAAAAGAGCGAGCAAACUAGCAUAGCAAAGAUAGUAGUGAUUUCAAGGGUGUGAUCAUCUUGCCUGCACAAUUGUCAGAAUUGACUGGAUCCUCAAAAGCAAACUCAACGGGCUCCUCGUUAGCGAACUCGUCUCCCGGCUCUACCCAACAACACAAACAAGCAACAAGGAUACAAUCAACCACGUGCGAGGGCAACCAAUAAUAUGCAAAGAUGAUAUGCUAUGCGGGAUGCGAUGCGGGAUGCAAAAAUGCAAGAUGUAACAGGAAAUGCAUGAACCUGGCCUCAACUUGGAAAACCAAGUGUGCCACUGGAUAGAGGGGAAGAAAUCCCCUGAAAACGAUAUAAAGAUCAUGGCAAUCGGAGCUACGGUUUAGAAAUGGCAAGCGUUUUACUAAACGAACUGAUCUGCGAUUUACGGCAAGUAGGCUCCUAAAUGCAAUAAAAUGAACAUGCUACAGCCACCCAACAUGAAAACAAAUUGCAUGGUAGUGAUGUACUUAAGAAGCUUAACAAAUCACCAGGACUGAGGCAUAGGCAAAUUCAUCCAUUAAGGGCUUCAAACAAGCAUGGCAAAACUGAAUAAGCAAAACAGAUUUCAGACUUAGCGAAAUUAACGCUAGUCUGAAAUUUCACACCACGAUGCUCUCUUCGGAGCAGCAAAACAACAUGAAGCAAAACCUGAACAUGGCAAGUAAGAGCAUGGCAUGGAGCUACUCAACAAGCUUAACAAAACACCCAAAAUGACCUGGGGCCAAAAGGGUUCACAAAAUACUCUACCGAGCACACGAACAUCGAUGAAACACAAACAGUUUUCAGACUUAGUGAAAACUGGGACAUGCUGAAAUAAUAACUCACGAAGGCAUGUAAACGAGCUCGAUGCACUCACUACGGUGCAAGUCAUGGCAAGGCAAGCAUAUAUCCAUUAAGAAGGCACAAAAUGCUAGCUAGACAUGGCAAGAACAAAGGCAUAGCAUGCAUGGAUCACUAGCAAUAACUCCGGCAAAAUCGCAAAAGAGUUCACGAUCUGCCCAAAACAACAACUAUGCAAAAGUUGAGCUCGAUUGAGUCAACCUAGGUUGCUCCAACAUAACAAGUAAAGACAUGGAUGGAUUAAGCAUAACAAAUCACUCUUACUGAUCAUCCUCAAAAGAGGCACGGAUCACUAGGAAACAAGCUGGACAUAUAGCAUCGUGAACUAAAACAUCCCAGACUUAGUGAUUAUCACUAAGUCCCUGAAAUCAGUAAACUCAGGUACCCCUCUUCGCAAGCUUGCACAAGACAACACACACAUCCUAAAAAUGCAAGGGAGGCAUCUCUGGAAAGAAGACAACAUGCUUAACAAUUCAUCCCAAAGGGGCACAAGCAUAUCAUGCACCGAUUAAACAUGGAAAAAAUGACAAAAGUGCAUGUUGAACUAACGGAUCUGCAAUUUAACUCAUGAUGCCUCCUUCCAACAGCAUUUUGGGCAACAAGGUGACCUCAAAUGCAAAUGAUGCAAUGGAAUGAAAUGAUGUACUCGUCGAGACGAAGAUUUUGAUAUAUCAUAUGCCCAAAUCGGAGCUACGGAUGCAAAGAUAUGGCAGGUCAAAGGUAGCAUAAAAAAUUACGGAAUUAGGGUUUCGGGGGAGAGGUCAACCGAUCCAGAUCUGGAAUCACUGUAGCAGACCGACACUGUUCAUCCGGCGCGCGCGACGAGGAUGGCCGGGAGGAGCUCGCCGGGGCUUGGAUCCAAGGCGGCCGGAGCGGUCUUGGCGGCGCACGCCGGCGCGGGAGGCGGCGACGGGACNNNNNNNNNNNNNNNNNNNNNNNNNNNNNNNNNNNNNNNNNNNNNNNNNNNNNNNNNNNNNNNNNNNNNNNNNNNNNNNNNNNNNNNNNNNNNNNNNNNNNNNNNNNNNNNNNNNNNNNNNNNNNNNNNNNNNNNNNNNNNNNNNNNNNNNNNNNNNNNNNNNNNNNNNNNNNNNNNNNNNNNNNNNNNNNNNNNNNNNNNNNNNNNNNNNNNNNNNNNNNNNNNNNNNNNNNNNNNNNNNNNNNNNNNNNNNNNNNNNNNNNNNNNNNNNNNNNNNNNNNNNNNNNNNNNNNNNNNNNNNNNNNNNNNNNNNNNNNNNNNNNNNNNNNNNNNNNNNNNNNNNNNNNNNNNNNNNNNNNNNNNNNNNNNNNNNNNNNNNNNNNNNNNNNNNNNNNNNNNNNNNNNNNNNNNNNNNNNNNNNNNNNNNNNNNNNNNNNNNNNNNNNNNNNNNNNNNNNNNNNNNNNNNNNNNGGCGGUGCCCACGUGGCAGGCGGCGGUUGGCCGAGGGGCGCGGCGGCGGACGCGUCCGGCUGGGGCGGACGUGUCCGUCGGUGCGGGGAGGUUUUUUUUUAGAGGAGGACGGGGAGGAAGACGAGAUCCGAAAUGGGGGGUGUUUAAAUAGGCAUAAGUGGAGCUAGGAGAGUCCAAAUGAGGUGCGGUUUUUGCCCACACAAUUGUGAUCGAACGACCGAGACGAUGGAGCAGAGUUUGGUGGGUUUUGGGCCAAAAUGGAGGGGUGUUGGGCUGCACACACACGAGGCCUUUUGGGUCCUCGGUUAACCGUUGGAGCAUCAAACGAAGUCCAAAUGACCCGAAACUUGACAGGCGGUCUACCGGUAGUAAACCAAGGCCGCAUGGCAAGUCUCGGUCCAAUCCGGAAAUGUUUAAUCCCCACACACGAAAGAAGCUAGAAAUGGCCACCGGAGGAGAACGAAGCGCCGGAAUGCAAAACGGACAACGGGGAAAAUGCUCGAAUGCAUGAGAUGAACAUGUAUGCAAAUGCAAUGCACGUGAUGACAUGAUAUGAGAUGCACGAAAACAAAAACAACACACGGAGACAAAGACCCGAACCCGAGAAUUAAAUAUAACUUAAUGCCGGAAACGGCAAGAGUUGGAGUACAAUUCGGGAAGGUUACAUAUGGGGCGUUGCAUGUUGCAAGGGUUGAGGAGAGUAAAAGGGUUCCACGGCAUUGUACUGGGGAACUUGAGUACGAGCCGGGGAAGCAAGAGGUUCCCUCGAGUCAUCCGCAUCAUGAACCUCAUUUGGGUUAAACGAGUUUGAUGCGGACGUUGAUGGCUUUAGGCGAGCAUCAAUUUCCUCUUUGACCAAUGCACGGACCUCUUUCAACAUAGAGACUUUGAGGUCCGCAAACAUUGAAAGAAGAUCGGCCGUGGUCAAGGGGACAUUCGGGUUAGUAGUAGUGGCAGGAGCAACGACUGGAGCACCAAGUGUCUCAGUCGCGGCGGGGGGUUGGUUUUGACCAUCCCCCGUAACAGGUAGGCCACCUCCUUCAUUCCCUAGAUCGACCAUAUCCUCUAAGGUUGUAAAACCUUAUAUUAGAGCACGAGGCUCUGAUACCAAUUGAAAGGACCGAUACAGUCGACUAGAGGGGGGGGGUUGAAUAGGAGACUACAAAUUUUAAUCUUUCUUGUAGAUUUUAAGGCUUAGCGGAUAAAAGAGUUCACUAGAUAUGCAACUAGGUGAAUGCAACCUAUAUGACAAGCAAGCUCCAAGAAGAAAAGCUAGGCAACAAACUACUUAGCAAGCCAACAAGCAUAAAACAACUAAGAAAUGUGCGGGAAAGGAUUAACCACAAGUGAGACGAGGACGCGGAUUUUAACCCGAAGUUCACUCUUCCUUGGGGAAGAGCUAAUCUCCAUUUGGAGCGGUGCCGGAGCCAAAGCUUGCGGAAUGCCACCAAAGGCUCACCGUAUUCUCCUUCGAGUCACCCCCAAUGGAUGAGCCUCGAACCACUCGGGGUUGGUCUUGAAGGCGACCACCACACCUUUACAAACUUCUUCGGAGCACACCACAAGCAAGGAAGCUUCCGGAGGAACCUCUAACCGCCUAGGAGCCCAAGCUCCAAGAGUAACAGGUCAAUGGGGAAGAAAUGUUGCGGGGAACGCGAUUUGGUUUGGUCAAGUUGUAGAUCGGGUCUUGCUCUCCCAAUCCCAAAGUUUCCACAAGUUUGGGUGGAGGGAUUGAGAGUAUUGAGCAAAAUGGGGUGUAGCAAUGGUGGAGCUCAACAAGACAUUAGGGUUCGGGGUUGGAGGAGGAAGAAAGGCCUUUUUAUAGUGUUCAUGUGAGGGUGGGGAUUUCUGCCUGUUGGACCCCGUGCGCAUGGGCUAAGUCAGCCCUGUGCGCACGGGGUAUCCAGAGAGUUACCCAAUACCCCGUGCGCACGGGGGUCAAAAGACCCCGUGCGCACGGGGUACCCAGAGAGUUACCCAGUACCCCGUGCGCACGGGGGUCAAAAGACCCCGUGCGCACGGGGUACCCAGUAACUUACUGUUGCAACUUUCUGAGUAUCACAACACACACACUAGGUUCAUAUGAGGUGGUUGGAGUGGGAAGGGUAAGAGAGUAAGGCUCGGCAAAGGCAUUUCCACACAACAUUUAUCCACACAGACCCCUCUUAAUAGUGCGGUCUUUCCUAUGACUCGAAGCAAACCAAAACUGAACCUUCGAAGCGUCGAAAGACCACGCCUUUGUCCUUUUUGAAAUGGGGGGUCACACUUCUCCAUUGCGGGCACUUAGAACCAAUAAUCUGAGAUAAACUUUAGCAACCGAUAUUAAUUCAACUAACCACAUUGUCAUCACACCAAAAUAUAGCUUAAGUGCCAUUAGCACUUUCACACCAUAUGUCGUCGGAGUUGUAACUCCGAUUUGAUGGUUUCUCCUUUUUUUAAGAAAAUUCCUGGGUCGAUUUGGUUCCGUCGAGGUUCUUUUUUUUUCUAUUUCCAUAUAGUGGAAAGGCCUUCUCAUUGCAAGGAUAUAUCUACUGCUCCUUGGAUUCACAUGAUGCAAUGCUCCGAGGGCACCAAGGCCGUUAGUUAUAUUUUUCAUCCAAUGUUCACAGUGAUAGCACCCACCAACUUGUAGAAUACACCCAUAAUUGAGUAUAUCAUAUGACACGGGAAGAGGGGUGGGGAUUUAGAGGUAUGGUCGGCUCGUUGGAGGAGACGACUCGGACAUGAUAGGUGAUGAGUUAGUGACCCCAACCACCAGUGUGGAUGCGUUUGGGCGGCGAAGACGGAUGGAUCGAUAGGAAUGUAGGGUAGUAGGGGUGACUAACUGAAAGAAGAAGAAGAAGAAAAUCUAAUUGAUCCCUUUUAUCUUAAACUCUAGGCAUAGAAGAACGCGGUGGAUUUUACAUUGUCAUUAGUUAUGUGGUAAAUUUAUUUUUAUGGUCUGCCAUAAAAAUUCAAUCGGUCAUAAAAAGUGAGCUUUCAUCGGGCAAAAUUAAAUUCUUCUACUAUUAAUCCUUCUAGAGGCCAACCCCCAAAAGUAGCGUGCGGCCUUAAUUUAGGCCUUAUUUGUUCUACAAGAUUUUAAAAACUCAACAAUACAAAAACAUAGGAAUAUGAUAGAAAUGCACGCGCAAAUCUGAGGAAUGAUUAACACAAGAAUUCUGUCAAGUUGGGUGUUCUGUUCACAGUAAUUGAAAAAACACAGGAAUCCGAAUUAACAUGAUUAAAUAAAGUCAAAUUACACUGUCUCGACGAAUGUGAAGUCUACGAGUAUCGCCAUGUGGAAUCCGAGGGUCUUCCCAAAUUCUCACACUGUCUCCAAAACCAAUCCUCCAUACCACUCCUACUUUUAGCAACUCUAUACAUCUAAGAAUACAUUGCCAUGAGUAGGACAUUUGGCCCUCCGCGUUGUUGAUAGGAAGUACAUGGGAGAAAGAGCGGUGGACGCAAGGGUGGCAGAGAACCUCAUGGUGGUUGAAGUAGAAGAGACAAUAUGGUAUGUGGGGCGGAUGACGAGAGGGUGGGCUAUGUCAGUUGCUCAUGCACAAUUUUUUUCUAUGAAUUACUUUUUAUUAUGUGGCAACAUGCGGGCAUUCAACUAGUACAUGAUAGUGACAUUGUUUUAAGAAAACAUUGAUUCCCCAUAUAUUUAUUUAUAUGUGCAUAUUGAUCUACGUUGCCUCUCUGCAAAUAGGCUAUGAAUCCCUCUUGUGCAACCACGUCAGAGUGCUUCAUAACCUGUUUUGCCCUAUAAUUUCUCUCUCCAAUUUCAAUAUUUAGGGCUAUGCACUUCAUGUUGUAAGAUGUUACUGGGCUAAAUGGAAAUUUAGAGCUUCAUGCACCUUUCCCUAUUGAAAAAAUGACCAUCAGCAGGAUGAGGAUGAAGCGUCACACUCGCUGCGCACCAUGGAUAAAAACUGUAUCUACUGUCUACAUUUUAUGAAGAGUAUCGAUGUACUAGUGUUGCACGUGUACAAUGAAUCAAUUUUUUUUCCAAGAACCAUUUUUACCAAAAAAAAAA
RNAcentral lists this long non-coding RNA (82755 nucleotides) under Triticum aestivum (bread wheat). Its description in RNAcentral is "long non-coding RNA (TAES_LNC009795)". The stretch from base 1252 to 1366 matches the Rfam family "MIR1120/MIR1122 microRNA precursor family". Lineage: Eukaryota; Viridiplantae; Streptophyta; Magnoliopsida; Poales; Poaceae. The record is from RNAcentral.